UUUGGAAUUUAAUUCCUGCAACAUUGAAGUCUUUAUAUAAAAUAAUAUAGUAUUUUUUGUUUUAAAAAAAAAAAAAGAAGCAGAAUCAACUAAUACAUAACUGAUAAUAGGAUGAGGAACCUCCUCCAUCCAAAUUAUUUCCUCUAAAACAAAAAAGAAAAUUUAGCAAGCUCAUGAGCAGCUUAGUUUUUUACUCUAAGAGCAUGAAAAAUUCUAGUUAAAAGAAUCCAACAUCUGUAGUCUUAUACCAUAAUCCAGUAUCUGGUAUUUUUCAAGCAUUGCAUGCUGCACCAUGGAUAGAGAAUCCGUUUCCAGCGUAGGGAAGAGAGAUUGUUGCUUCAAUUCUGCAUUUUCCGGUGAGAGAGAGACACGAAGAACCUUAGUUCCCAAUCCCAGAACAUCACAAGCAUCAUUUCUGAGAACAAAACCCAUCCUACAGCUCUAAUUGUCCUUAAUAGAUGCAUUAUCUUCUCUCAAAACUGAUAGGUUGGCCUAUUGAAAAUCAAAAAUAUAGUUUAGACCGAGAUGCACAGAUUUGUUCCUUUGUUAAAUGGAGCUACUAAAACUUGACGAGAUUCUUGCUUUCCACAAAGCCUAAGCAAUCAUGGAAAAAAUCUCCAGCUGUUGGGUUUUAAAACGAGACGUAAUCUUGUCAAACUAAUCAACAAAAACCUCAGUUUGCGAUUGAGCAGAUAAUAAUCACAAGAGACACGUCUUCACACUCUUUGAGCUAAUUAAUAACCCUUUAGAAUAUGAAUUGUAGUCUCUAAUGCCUCUCAACAAGAUAUACAAACUAGAUCAAUAUUUAAGCCUCUCUUAUCAAGUAUGACGAGCUCUCAAAGGAAUUGAUUGUGUAACCCCCUAGAUGCAAUGAAAGUCUCGUACCCCCAAGUGUUAUGUAAAUUAAGUAAAUAAGUAAUGAAGAUAGCAAGAAGUAUGCUCAUACUACUUUUGAUCCUUCAAUAUUCUGCCAGAUGCUGAAUCACUUAGAUUAGACCACUGUGAGUCUCUUCACUGAAAUACUGAAACUUGCUUAAUUUUUCUUAGUUCAUGUCAAUUUACUGUGUAUUUCUUUGUAGAUCCAGAAAUACCCAUGGGGCAAGUUGCUGAUUUUCCAGACUUUAUCUAGGCAUCCAUGCCCUAUCAGCAGAGGAGGCUGCUCCUACCCAAUUUCUUCUACGAUGUGUACUACCUCAAAGAGAGGAUAUAUGAAUAGGAGCUAGGCACUGCAUAGAGGAGAGUGUCGGAUGGAGUCUCAUACUUCAUGAUGGCGACUUGGGAGAUAAAGGGCGAGAUGAUUGCCACGGCGCGGCGUGGGUACAACAGCUACUGAUCAUUUGGCUAACUUUGUACCCGGUGCUUAUGCGAUCUUUGCUCGGACUCAGCUGCUGAUAUGAGUACCUCCAUCUGCUGAUGAUGAGUCAGCUCCAGAGGAAGAAGCAGCGGCAAAGGAUCGGGGGGCUGCCCCUUCCCGCACAAGUAUCAUUUUCUCUUCUUCUCUAUGCUUUGCCUCAGCGUGUCAUAUAAUUGCUUACCAUUGGUGCUUUAUUAUUGCAGCAGCAGUGCGGCAAGUCUGUCAGGAGGGGAUCUGACACCGAGGCGCCAGACUCUGCUAUUGUCGGUGAGCCAGAGCAUGCCCUAGGGGCUUCUUUUACCUUUAUUUCUGCACGCACGGGACUGACCGUGCAAGGCAUACUAGAGACGCACACAGUGAGUCCAUACCGGAUGUCUCUGCCUGGUUGCACUCACGUAAGUUUGGUUUCCUUAUUUUCAGUCUUUUCUUUAUUAUUUUUCGUUCCCAACGAAUGCCCCUGCCUUGUUCUGCAGGUAUCCAUUCAGGACCACAACGAGGUAUGCCACCUGUGUGCGGCUACAAGGCUCAAGCUUGCUGUGACGUGGCUCUUCGACAAACAUAUAUUUGUAAGUAAAAAAACAAAACAGAAAGAAGAUGCAAUAUGCAUGUCAUGUAUGCCUGUUAUGCGAUUCUAAUGGGCUUAAUGUAUGCAGACAGCUAGCAUGGCGCAAGGAGAUUGAGGUCGCGAUGCUUGUGUAGGUGGUAGAGCUGGUCAUGGCGUCGAACGAAAUCACAGAUCAGUUGUGAUUGGAGAGGCCGAUGAUGCUGAGAGCGAGGACUCGGAGGAGACUGCCUCGUAUAUGCAUAGAGCGGUUGUGCUUCUAUCCUCCUUAAUCUUGGGGAAUGUUGUUACUCUUGUAAAGAAAUUCGAACAUUUGUUGUUUAUAUCAAAGUAAUUGUCGAUUUUCCAUUGCUUCUGAGUUUACAUCAUGUAUGCUUGCUUUAUAAAUGUUGUUGAAGUGGCUUCUGAGCUUGUAAACUUGAGAUUCAGCAAGGAUCAUAUUAAGGAAAAUCAAUAUAGUACAUGUAUUCCUAGUUAGUUCCUGAGUAUAUUCCUAAUUAGUUUAUGAUUUGUAUUCCUAAAUAGCUAGAUAGCAUAGGAAUUCCUUAUAUAUAGACCUAUGUAAUCGAUUGAUGAGAUACAAGAAAUACAACUACAAUAUAUUCUCUCAAGAUGUUAUCAGAGCCUUCCAUUCAAAAAAAAAAAAAAAUCCCGAAACUUUCCUUGCGAGAAGCCAUUGCCACCCUAGGAAGCCUUUCUAGGGUUAGUAUUUUGUCUCACCACCGACCUCAGGAUAUUCUCCAGCCGCUGAUUAGCGCCUCCCUAGAAUCCGUUUGCCGGAUUCCAAGUGAAUGGCCCCCAUGCGUCACCUCUUUCUUCCUGCUCUGGUUCAUGCGCUAGCGCAUGUCCAGUGGUCUUUUUCACUCCGGUUCCUCUCUCCGGCGUUGACUUGAAGAGAGACGUGCAACCCAGUGAGUUGCAUUAUUAUUCUUGGGCUUAUUCAAUAGGUUUGUUUGCUGCGAUUCUGUUGUAGCUGUGUCGGGCAGUGUUCUGCUACUGUUGUUGCUUUCAUUUGCUGAGGAAACCUAUCUUUUCCUUUAUUGUGACAAUUGUUUUAGGUAAUUUUUGGUGAUUUUCUAGUGAUUCCUUAUUACAUUAGGGUUUGGUACUGCACAUUUACUGCAGUUAUGGUUAUUCUGCUUUUGAACCUUCUCCUUUGUCGAGAGCAGUGCAACCCCAGUGAGUUGCAUUGUGUUCUUGGCCUUCAAUGGUGUGCUCCGUUUGCUAGAGUUUCCUUUGCUGUGUUUCUGAAUAUCUGCGCUACUGGGCUUCCUCUUUGAGGCAUUGAUUAUGGAAGCUUGAAACAGCCCUAUGAGUUUUUUUCUAGUUUAGUGAGAUUUGUUUCGACAACCUAAGUGUGUUGUCUUAAUUCUGCUGCUACUAUUUGGUUUGGGAUUCUAUAUUGCUAUAAUGAAGUGGGUACAGUUGCUGAGUAUGGUAUUGUGUUUUGCUGAAAGUAGUAAUUUGUAACAAGUUGAGCAUGAUUAACAUCUAUGCUCCAACUUGAGGGGGAGUAUUAAGGAAAAUCAAUAUAGUACACGUAUUCCUAAUUAGUUCCUAAAUAUAUUCUGUAACAUCCCAUUUUUCUAUGUCUGAAAAAGUAAGUUGUGACAUCCUACUGAAUCGAGUCGUUGCUUAGAGUCGAGUCGGGCUGAUCCAAAACUCGAUUCGAGCCAUUAGAGUCCAGAGUGGGGUAGAAUGGGAUGUAACUGAAAUAAGGAAAAGAAGUGGACUUACUUGAAGGAAGCAAAAAGAUCAAAGUAUAAGGAUUAGGACUUACUUGCACUAAAANNNNNNNNNNNNNNNNNNNNNNNNNNNNNNNNNNNNNNNNNNNNNNNNNNNNNNNNNNNNNNNNNNNNNNNNNNNNNNNNNNNNNNNNNNNNNNNNNNNNNNNNNNNNNNNNNNNNNNNNNNNNNNNNNNNNNNNNNNNNNNNNNNNNNNNNNNNNNNNNNNNNNNNNNNNNNNNNNNNNNNNNNNNNNNNNNNNNNNNNNNNNNNNNNNNNNNNNNNNNNNNNNNNNNNNNNNNNNNNNNNNNNNNNNNNNNNNNNNNNNNNNNNNNNNNNNNNNNNNNNNNNNNNNNNNNNNNNNNNNNNNNNNNNNNNNNNNNNNNNNNNNNNNNNNNNNNNNNNNNNNNNNNNNNNNNNNNNNNNNNNNNNNNNNNNNNNNNNNNNNNNNNNNNNNNNNNNNNNNNNNNNNNNNNNNNNNNNNNNNNNNNNNNNNNNNNNNNNNNNNNNNNNNNNNNNNNNNNNNNNNNNNNNNNNNNNNNNNNNNNNNNNNNNNNNNNNNNNNNNNNNNNNNNNNNNNNNNNNNNNNNNNNNNNNNNNNNNNNNNNNNNNNNNNNNNNNNNNNNNNNNNNNNNNNNNNNNNNNNNNNNNNNNNNNNNNNNNNNNNNNNNNNNNNNNNNNNNNNNNNNNNNNNNNNNNNNNNNNNNNNNNNNNNNNNNNNNNNNNNNNNNNNNNNNNNNNNNNNNNNNNNNNNNNNNNNNNNNNNNNNNNNNNNNNNNNNNNNNNNNNNNNNNNNNNNNNNNNNNNNNNNNNNNNNNNNNNNNNNNNNNNNNNNNNNNNNNNNNNNNNNNNNNNNNNNNNNNNNNNNNNNNNNNNNNNNNNNNNNNNNNNNNNNNNNNNNNNNNNNNNNNNNNNNNNNNNNNNNNNNNNNNNNNNNNNNNNNNNNNNNNNNNNNNNNNNNNNNNNNNNNNNNNNNNNNNNNNNNNNNNNNNNNNNNNNNNNNNNNNNNNNNNNNNNNNNNNNNNNNNNNNNNNNNNNNNNNNNNNNNNNNNNNNNNNNNNNNNNNNNNNNNNNNNNNNNNNNNNNNNNNNUGCUCCAUUGAGGUUAGGUAGAAACCACUUAGAUAAGGCUAUGUCACGACAUAGGAUAGCAGAUCUGUGCUUCAUACAGUUUGGUACUCCGGCUACAAGCCGUUGAGUGAAUAUGAUUAUAUAAUGGCCAUAGCAGCCCAGUCAUACUGUAUUCAUCCAGUUUCAUACAAUUCUUCUUAUCACUUUGGUUUCAUUAUAACCUUAUGAAGCUAUAUAGUUAUAUUGACUACAAAUUGCAUAAUCAUACAGUAUAAUGAGCAACAAGUACGAUAAUGAAAGUAUCAUGAUAUGUGUGCUUACAUUCCAUAUGUGAUUACAUGUUUUUUUAUACAUAUGUAUGUGCUUCCUUGUUCCUUUAUUCAUUGCGAUAUUCACUGAGUUGUAAUAAAAGUUGCAGAAUUCAUACAGCAUAAANNNNNNNNNNNNNNNNNNNNNNNNNNNNNNNNNNNNNNNNNNNNNNNNNNNNNNNNNNNNNNNNNGGAGCCAUACAGUUAUGAGAUUUUAUUAAUCAUAACUUAUAUGAUGUGAAUAAAAAGUGCAAAAGUCAUAUAGCAUAAUGAACAGUAAGUAAGACAAUGAAAAUUUACUGUUAUGUGUUCUUACAUGUUUAUUGAUUUCAUUCAUACAGCAUAAUGAACAGUAGGUAAGAUCAUGAUUGUGACAUCCUGGCCAUCAGGGGGCAUUCGCCUUAGGCGAAUCCCACAUCGGCUACGGACGAGGUAAACGAUCUAUACAUAAGAGGGGUAGUCUCUAACCUUGGUAGGCGCCUUUUGAGCUGGCAGAGUGGGUGACCCCUGGCUCAAAGGGACAAAACCGUGAGGUGUAGGGACAUCCGGGCCAUCCGGAGACUAUGCCAAAGCGGACAAUACUUACCAAGGGUAGGGCUAUGACAAUUUGUCCGCUUUGGCAUAGUCCCCGGAUGGCCCGAAUGUCCCUACACCUCACCGGUUUGUCCCCCUUCGCCACAUCCUGGCCAUCAGGGGGCAUUCGCCUUAGGCGAAUCCCACAUCGGCUAUGGACGAGGUAAACGAUCUAUACAUAAGAGGGGUAGUCUCUAACCUUGGUAGGCGCCUUUUGAGCUGGCAGAGUGGGUGACCCCUGGCUCAAAGGGACAAAACCGUGAGGUGUAGGGACAUCCGGGCCAUCCGGAGACUAUGCCAAAGCGGACAAUACUUACCAAGGGUAGGGCUAUGACAAUGAUAGUAUCAUGAUAUGUGUGAUUAAAGGUUCAUGUAAAGGAGUUAUGAGAUAAUUAGAACUCAAUUAUUUAUGUUCUGAAUUAGAAGUUUAUUCUGUACUAUAAAGAUACAUUUAUGUUGACAUUUACUGAUUCUAUGAUUAUCAAUGCUUUUAUGAAAUUUGUAUUUUAAGUAAGAUGCCAUCGCACUUUGUUAAGUAUGUGAAUUACGAGCACCACUGAGUUUUGUACUCAGUGCGUCGAUUUUUAUCACGCGUAGGUUAAAGAUCGUGGUUGCUACUUGAAGACUUGAAGAGUGCUAUCAAAGUAGAAGUGACGAAUUUGGGAGUAGUAGAUUGAGAGUUACUUAUGAAAUGUGAUUGGAAAUAUAAGUGAAGCAUGUAAUUAUUUUGGUGUAAGUAGUUGGAGAUAAGAAUAAUACUUAUGAAAUGAUUGAAUAUGAAAUAUUUUACUAUAGUUGGUAUGAUUAGUUCAUGAAGACUUGACAUAUAUAUAAUGAAUGCAAUUAAUUGCUGGAUAUUAAAUGCUAUUGAGGAUUUAUACAGUUAUGAAAAUAUAUAUAUAAAGUGUUAUUGUGUUAUGAUGAUUAGUUGGAGAUAUUGGAAGUUGGAGUUGAAUUGGGAGUGUUUGAUAUUCAUAUUUAGCACAGGAUGAUAUCAGCAUGACAGAACAUAAGUUCAACCAGAUUAUAGCGUCUCGGCUCGGUUCAUUCAGGUUAGCGGGUGGACCGGGAAGGGAUGUUACAUAUUCCUAAUUAGUUUAUGAUUUGUAUUCCUAAAUAGCUAGGUAGCAUAGGAAUUCCUUAUAUAUAGACCUAUGUAAUCGAUUGAUGAGAUACAAGAAAUACAACUACAAUAUAUUCUCUGCACAGAUCCCAAAUUUACUACUGUCAAAGCUGAAGUAGCGUGCACCACUAUAACUGUGGCUGGCACCGCACAUAAUGGUGUCCGCCAGUAUCAGUAUAGUGCCAGACAACUGUUAAUUUCGUCCUUUAUUUUUGCUAUAAAAGCCCAUUUCUCUCAAAAAAAUGUAGCUCUAACUCAGAAACUACCCCAAAAACAUUUCAUCUCUUCUUUAUUUCUUCAUGGAUCGAACUUUGACACCCAUAUUUGAAGCAUUGUUUUGCAAUUUAACCUGGGACGAUUGGGAUACACUUUCACCCUUUGAGCUGAACGAGCUGAGUUAUUAUUGAACAUUCGGGUCUAACCCGGAUUGUUGUAAUGUUUGAUCAACUAUUUUUUACCAUUCGAACAAUUUAUUUCAGCAUAAUGACUUCGAGAUCUAUCCAUUUUUUGAAGAGUUUAGCAUUAUUUCCAAUAGGAUACCCCUGACUGAAGAAAUUCAUGUGGUGCCUUGGCUCGAUGUCAACCCAGCUUCGUUGAUACUUCAUGUGUUUGGCUUUUUGGCUUAGAAAGUUCAAGCAAAUGGAAAGGAAAUUGACAGUCCCUUGCAGCCAUUACUAGAGUAUGCAGUGGAGAUGGAUUGCGCUAAUCUGCACUGGGCUUCUCUUAUUUGCUUUUGCAUUCUAAGCCAAUACUUGCUGUUGAGCGGUAUUGACGGUUAUGGCAACCUUUAGCUAAUAACCAUAGUUGAACAGAUGGCUAGGUGAUGCACGUCGUUUUCACUUAUUCUUGCUGAGACUCUGACUUAGCUAGGAGUCUGUGCUCGGGAUCCGGACUCAGAGCUGGAUCCAAUGGGGAGCCCGCUUCUACUGCAAGUAAAUGCAUUGUAUUAUUGUUCCUGUUUUUAUGCUCUAACUUUUGCUUAAGCCGCCCUUGCAGGUUUUCAACUUAACGAGCUUUUGCUUUUAUUUUCUAUUCUUUCAUUUUUUUUGCUUACUCUAAUUUUUGCUUAAGCAGCCCUUACGGGUUUUCAACUUAAGGAGCAUUUUUCUUCCUUUUUUCUUUUUGUAUUUUUUUUUUUUUUUUUUGAAUGCAUUUGCAGUUAUGGGCUUAUGAGAAGCCUCAAGUGAUGAACCCACCAUCAGACUAUCUGAUGUAUGAUUACGGGCCAAGAGUCUUCAUGCAGUGCUGCUUGACUAGGGAUACCGUCGAGGACUGGACAACCAUUCUUCAGGAUAUUACAACUGAAGGCAUUGGAUGGACUUGCCCCUGGCGGUAUAUAAAGUUAGUCACAGUCUCCCCAUACAUGCUCUAUGUGCCCCUGUGCAGGCUUACCAUAGUAGUCGCUUAUUAUCUCAAUCGCGUGGCUAGGCAGUAUAGUUGUCAUCAAGCUAUCGUUGAUUAUGUUGGAUUUGAGGGCGGACUGAUCACUCAAAGAUUCCUAUCUCACUUUAUUGCCACAUUUAAUUGGAAUAAUGACUCUUAUAUUGUCACAUUUAAUUGGAUUAAUAUGACCAAGUGUCAGUUUAAAAUCCUUCAAUUGUUGCCUAAUCCAUAAAACUAAGCCACAACAAAGGCCAAUAGCUACGUACUCGACUUUGCCAAUUGAAAGUGUAACAGAAUUUUAUCGAGUCCAAAUGAACGGUUUCAAUUCCUUUAGCGAAUUGGGCGAGGCAUCCAGCCGAAGCCUCACAAUAUAUAUAGGUUCACUUUGGAUAUUUUGAUCUUAAAAUCAUAAACCGAACCAAAAGCUUGUUUUAAAUUGUACAGACCAAACCAUCAAUUUUUUACGACUUCGAUUGUCAAUCUAUUUAGGUCGGUUUUUGAUCGAUUUGGAUGAUUUGAUAAAUGCCCCUAGUUGUUUUAUAAGAUUUUUGAGCAAUCUAGGUUUGUUGCAAUAAGGGUUUGUCUGCUUUCUUCUUGUUUGCAAAUGCUGGAUGAAGAAAUUCAUAGUAGUUGGAGAAAGAAGAAGUUAAAUAUGGUAAAAUGAAACUUGAGUGGAAAAACUACUAGCUAUGUCAUGGCUAUAUGUAGGCGUGGCUGGUUCAAUGAAUCACCGAUUCCGGUUCAUUGAGCCGCCGGUUCGAGAUGCUUAAAAUUUUGAACCGGAAUCGACCCUUGAACUUUCGGUUCCCGUUUCGUCAUAGUUUCGAUGAACCGACUGUUCGAAUUACCAUUCCGAUUUAGUUCCGAUAUUACACAAAUUUUUUUAAAAAAAUAAAAUUUUGAUUCCGAAUUCAUAAUAAAUAAUAAUUUUAAAAUGUUUAGAUUUUAUUAACUAAAUAAAUUAUUAUAAAAUUUUAAAAGAAAAACUUCUAUUAACUUAGAACUAUUAUUACCUUAAAUUUACAAAUUUUGCUAACUCACUAAUAUAGAAAAUUAUAAUUUUUUUAUUUUGGGCUUGAAUUAAAUUAAAAUUGAAAAAUUUUAAUUUAAUUGCCUAUGUAUCAUCUUGGGAAUUAGAGAAGAUCAAAGCCCAUGUAGUUUUUUUUUUAUUACAAUGGAAAAUAACCUUCCAAUUAUUACAAUUAAUUUUAGUCAUCGGUGCCACUAGUUCUCGUUAAUGAGCCGGAAUCAUCAUCAUCGCUUGAAUUUUAUUGGUCUUAAGUUCUCAACGUCGCUUUAGUCCAAUCGUUAAUACAUUCUUGCAUUUCCAUAUUAUUUAGCGAUAAUCUUGACCAUAUUGGAUCUAAAAUUUAUCCACCUGCACUAAAAGCUUGUUCCACUGCAACAGUAGAGAUUGGACAAGCAAGAAUAUCUUUUGCAAUUGAAGCUAAGACUGGAAAGUAAUUUGCAUGCUUUUCCACCAACCUAAAAUGUCAAAUUUUAUUAGGUCUUCAUCCGCAUCAUCACCUAAAAACUCAAAAUCUGUGCUAAUAUAUGUCUCAAUUNNNNNNNNNNNNNNNNNNNNNNNNNNNNNNNNNNNNNNNNNNNNNNNNNNNNNNNNNNNNNNNNNNNNNNNNNNNNNNNNNNNNNNNNNNNNNNNNNNNNNNNNNNNNNNNNNNNNNNNNNNNNNNNNNNNNNNNNNNNNNNNNNNNNNNNNNNNNNNNNNNNNNNNNNNNNNNNNNNNNNNNNNNNNNNNNNNNNNNNNNNNNNNNNNNNNNNNNNNNNNNNNNNNNNNNNNNNNNNNNNNNNNNNNNNNNNNNCUGCAACUAAAUUUAAAUAUGAAAUUUCAGUAUAAUAUUUUAACCAUUUAGUUUUCAUCAUGAAUAUACAUUCUUGUAAAUCAUCAUCAUUUUCAUUUUCGAUUAUGGCACUACUUAUGGCCAAACAAUGAAAUGAAAAUAAAUGGAAAGUAGAAUAAUAAACACCACUAAAAAUUCUUGUACAAUUUUUAAAAACUUGCAAAAUAUCUAAUAUUUUUUUACAAAUAGUCCAAUUGGUUGGAUAAAGUUGAAAAUGUGAUGCAUGCAAUUGCAUAAAUGAAGAAAGAAUAUCUUUAUAUUCAUAAGACUCACCAAAUGAAAAAGAUAAUUGUUCCAUACAAACCAUUUAAUAGAAUGACAAAAAUUUUUAAAUUAUUUUCUAACAUAUCCAUGUGUCGAUAAAUGAUUUAAAGCAUUUUUUAUUGGACGUAAAAAUACAUUUAAUAUUGUUAAUGCAUCUAGAUCACAUAAAUUUAAAAUAUGACAUGCACAUUUAGUGUGAAAAAUUGUCCACCAAAUUUAGGUUGACAAAGAGUUUUUAACUCAUUUAUUGAUGCCGUAUUUGCACUGACAUUAUCAAAACCAAUUGUAAAAAUUUUUUUAGUCAAACCAUAUUCUUCUAAAAUAAUAUUUAACAUGGUAAAAAUAUUAUCGGUGGUGUGAGAGUCAUAAAAAACUCUAAGUACAAUAAUUCUUUUUUGAAUUUUCUACUCAUUAUCAAUCCAAUGAGAAGUAACACCCAUAUAAGAAUGAGUUUGCCAAAUAUCACAACAAAUAGCAAUUUUACCAUUAAAAUUUGCAAAUACAUUUUUAAAAAUUUCUUUUUCUUUCAAAUAAAUAGAAAAGAUAGUCCUUUUAAGUUAUUCCUAGAUAUCUUUUUUGCUAAAGGAUUUAAUGCUUUCUUUACAAUAGUUAUUAAAUCCAAUUUUUUUCACCAAAUGAAAAAGAUAAUAGUUCCAUACAAACCAUUUUAGUCAUUUCAAUUUUAUUAGUUUCAUCACUAUAUUUAAAUAGAGGAGUGUUAGGAUCACCGUAUCUUGAUGACGAUAAUUGAGUUUGAGUUACAUCCAUUCCUAACCUCAUUUGGAUGAUGUGAUUUUAAAUGCCUAUUGAGAGUGCCAUAGCCUCCUCCAAGCUUGAAUGCAUAUUCUUCUUUGCAAUAAUAACAUCGAACCACAUUGAUUUCUCCGUUAUGUUGAACAAUUUUUGCAAAGUACUUCUUGAAAAUAUCUGAUUUUGGUGGUUUACCUAUUGAAAUAUUAGGAGAUGUUGCUUAUUCUUGUGGUGGAUGACGAGAAUAUAAUGUUCCUCAACUAGAGUUUGAUAUUGAACUUCAUUAUUAAAUUGUGGUGAAAAAUCAAUCAAUGGAUCGUUUGAAUCAAUUUCUUCCACGCUUUGAGCAACUCGCUUUCCCUUGGAGCUUUGUGAAUUGUGUGCCAUGUUUUUUAAAUGGAAUUAUGGAAAAAAAAAUGAAUAAAUGGAAUAUGAAAUUAAUGGAAUGAGUUGAAAAUUAUUAUUUUCAAAUACUAAGAAAAUUAUUAAAAAAAAUCAAAUGAAGUAAAUUUAUGAAUGGAAAAAUUGAGAUUAGAAGGAAUUUAGAAUUGGAUGUAUGAAAAUAAAAAAUAAACAAUAGAUAAUUCCAAUAUUAAGAAAAAUAAAGCAAUAGAAAAAAUAAUGAACUAUGUAAAUUUGAGAGAAUUUUGAUUGAGAAUAAGAGGAGAGUUAGGAUAUAAUUGGUUGUGAAAAAAAAAAUCAUCAACUUAUCAUAUUUAUACAUAUUUUUCAUUUAUUAAUUUUCCAAAUUGUCCCUUAUAACAGAAAAAUAAUAACUAUAUUUUUGGAUAAUUUAGUAAAUUAUAAUAAAUAAAUAAAUAAUUGAUUAAAAAUGAAUAAAAUUUAUUUACCAAAAAUAAAAAAAAUUAAAAGUCACCUCAACUAGCCGUUUGUACAUUUUUUUGUACAUAUAAUUUUUUUUUUUUACAAAUCAACUAUUCAUGUACCAUUUUUUUUUUGUAUAAAUUAAGUGUCACGCCCCGACUCUAAUCACCAGAGGAAUUGUCCGCUUUGGAUCAAGCCAAAUCCCCCAUACAAGAUUGUCAAGACCCGCACGGUUUUGUCCCGUAGGUGAAAUGGAAAACUUCCCAGGAGGUCACCCAUCCUAGAAUUUCCGUUAAGCGAGCACGCUUAACCUUGGAGUUCUUCCAACUCUCCAGCCAUUCCACCAAAAAGCGCCUCUAAUGAUUAGUUUCCCCCUUUUCGAUAUAUGAUUCGAUUCAUUCAUGUGUCCCGCAUUUCACUACCCUAGCUAGCCUGCCAUCCUAGAAGCUAGCCAGGAGCUUCGCUUUACCCGCCCUCUUAGGAUUGCUUUGCCGGGUCGGUGCCGGGUCGGGAUGUCACAUUAAGUCAAAUCAUGUGUACUUUUUUCACCAUUUUUUAUAAAUUAUGUACCAUUGUGUACUUCUGUUCACUAUAAAUUAAAUCAACUACAAUCAAAUCAAGUGAUAUAAAUUUUUUUAUAAAAAUUUUAAGCUACUAAUAAUUUUGUUUGUGCAUCCGGUUCGAACCGGACCAGAACCGCUGGUUCCAACUGGUUCAGGUUCAUUUUUAAACAUUCACAUGAAUCGUAACCGGCCCUUGAAUUGCCGAUUCCAGUUCAAAAUUUUGAAUCGCCGGUUCAAGUUCUUCUACAGUCCGGUUCGAUUUCGUUUCAGUUCCAAUUAGAAUCGAACUGAUGGCCAUGCCUAGCUAUAUGUUAUACACAUUUUUCUAUUGCUACAUAUGCAUACAAUAUCAUUAAAAUUUGUAACUUUAAAAGCACAAUAAACUAAUAACAUACUUAGUGGUGCAUUUAGCUGAAAUAUAAUAAAUUUGAGGAAUAAAUUUAUACUUUUGAUUAAAAUAUAUAUCACAAAAAUUAGUACGUCUUGCAUUCGAGGAAUAAAUUUAUACUUUUGAUUAAAAUAUAUAUCACAAAAUUAGUACAUCUUGCAUUCGAAUAAAAAUGAAAUUUAAUAAAAAAUGAAAUUUAAUUAUUUAGUACGUCUUGCAUUUGAAUUUGUUUGCAAAAUUUUCAUAAAAAGUGAAAAUAAUUGAGUAAAAGGAUUAAGGAAUUGCUCCGUAGCCACUUGAAUUGAGUAAAAGUAAGGAAAGUAUUAGGCGGGAACCUCCCACGGUAGAAGAAUAAACCAGUUGCAUUGCAACAUCUAACAAACAAGGAAAAUAAAUAAAUUUUGUGUUUGACUUUUAAAGUAAAUUUAAUACUAAUAAAUAUAAUAAUUUUUUCAAAUAAUAAUAAGGUGGAUUAAUUAAUUAAAGGAUUGACAAUGAGAAGAAGAGAGGAGAGCACGAAUAUCAAUCGUGUUUCCCGGAACCGAAGGUAACAGCGCAAACACAAACACUCGUCUCUUCCUCCUCUCUUAGCAAUCACAAAAACCAAAAAUUCCGAUCAGAUCUCACCGACAUCUGAUCGAAUUUGCGUGGUUUUUAUUAUGAUAAGCAGAUGGAAAGGGAGAGGUUGAAUGGUGAUGGCAAUUGGAAUUACAACUACACUAAAUUUGGGAAUGAUUAUUAUUAUUAUUACGGUAAGCAAGAGGAUGGAGAGGAGGAGGUGGUGGCGGAGGUAGAUCCACUCGGUCUAAACUGUAAUGGUGUUGGCGGUGGUAAACACAAGAAUCAUUUUCUAAUGACAACCGCCAAUUCUUACCCCUUUCCAUCGUCAUCAACGAUUAUGACAUCGCCAAUGUCAACACCUUCUCCGCCACUCCCUGGCGGUGUUGGCUUCAUUGAACAUCCCGUUUCUAAGUUGGAUACUCUUGCCGGCGUCGCCAUCAAGUACGGUGUUGAGGUAAAUUUCUUUUAUUCGUUCAUAUACAUAUUGGAUUCUGAAUGUUACUUAAUUUAUUUGGGUAAUUGCAUUGCCGAAUGCGAUGUCAAAAUAUCGAUAAUUGUUAACCUUGUACUGUAGCGGCAUAGAUUUUACGAUUAACAUUCUAAGAAUAAACAUGAAUGUACUAGUGAGAAUGGAAAAUUGCGACUAUUUUCUUAAAAAUUUCAUGAAAACUCGCUAUUGUAGUGGUUUACAUAUUCGUAAUUGGAAGAUCUUUGGCAAUAUAGUUUCUCCUUUUAUGUUCCAUGCAUUCAAAAUUAGGUUGCCUGAGGAGAUUCACUCUGGAUACACCAGGGUCAUCUAUUUGCUGCAUUGUCCAAUUGUUUUCCUAUAUUGGGUAUUGAUUUUCUAGGCAUUUGGAUGUAUGAACUGGUGUUCUCGUGUCACUUUGAAAUUCCAAAUGCUACUGGGUGCUUUCUUUCUUUCACUUUCUGUGCUUUUUAAAUAGAUAGUAAGCUGGUUAAUGUUCUUUUCUGGUUUCGUGGGUGACAUUAGGUGGCUGACAUUAAAAAAAUGAAUGGUCUGGUCACGGAUCUACAAAUGUUUGCUCUCAAGUCACUCCAGAUUCCAUUACCUGGAAAGCAUCCACCCUCCCCUGGCUUAUCAAAUGGUUCUAAUACCUUUAGGUACUUAUUUAAUCCUUUUAGACUAAUGUUUCUGUUCCAAAUUUCUUUGUUCUGAUGUAAGAGGAAAUAUACGAAUUAGCUUAUGGUGAUGAGUGCAAAAAAUUGGUGCUUGAUACUGGCUGGCGAUGGCUAAGGAUGAUUGAUGGUGGCUAGUGGACAUUAUGUUCUUGUUUCUCUUAAAUGCUGUUCCCUUUUAAUGUAUUUGAAAUGUUUUUUGUCAUUUAAAGGAAUUCAUUUUCCUUAGAAGAUGUGUGACUCUUGCGUUUUUUAUGACCAAGUUCCCUAAACAAGCCAAAUCAAAAAUGUUUUGUAAGGACAUAUUUUUUUCACAAAAUAAAAUUGAGCAUUAAGAAGAAUUCUUUUCUUCCCUAGCACCACAAAUACUAUCCAUCAUCCCCGAUGCUACGACCAUAUAUUUUUGCCACAACCACCUCUGUCUCCUUCUAGAACAACUUAAUUUUAUUAAUUUCUGAAACAUUAUUCAACUCUUGAAUUCUCAGCAUCAAGAUUAUUCAGCUGGUAAAUUGUAUACACUCAAUUUGUACAUAAUCAAUUAUAGACUUCACUUGAUAUGAAAAUAAUGUAGGAAUAUGAAAAUAAUGAAGGAUAUACUCAUUAUGAAACUACUUCCCAAAGUCUUUGUAUGGAUAGGACAGCUACUGGAUACCUUCUUUGUAUCAUUUGUUUGGCCAUGCAUGAUAUCAGAGGUGAUAUAAUCCUGAGAAACUAGUGAGCACGGAUAAUAAUAUACAUUUCAGGUGGUGCGACUGAUUUGAGUGUCUGGUGAUACUUUUAUUCUGUGGUUUUUUUGUGAUGAUAAUUAGUUCAUUUGGAGUGUUUUUGGGGUGCCGCGGCAAUGAUAGUAUUUAAAUACAAGUUAAAAUACAGUUGCCUCCAGGCCUAUUGCAAAUUGUAUUUUGUAAUAUCUGCGUUGGGUUGUGCGAUCACAACAUUGGCAGGAUGGAAAAUUUAGUAAAAUAUCAUUACCUUGUCACUUUAGCAAGUAAUUACACCUGCCAAUAUCUGCUGAGAAGUAUGUGAUGACUGCUUACCAACCUACUUAAACUUUACCUUCUUUAUUUCGCUCUAGCUGUUGCACUCCAGAUUUCGUUUCCUCCAAUAUCAGAAGCUCUGUUUUUUGUUUUCAAAUGAACCUGUCUUGCACCUAAAAGUUUCCCCUUGCUCUUUCUCAAGCAUAUCAAGAUGAGUACCCUUUUCAUUGUGCUACACUGUAGUAGCUUUGCCUAUGAUGUGCAAGGUGCUAUUUAUUGUAGCUUCUUUUCUUGUAGUAUCUCAUGCAUUUUUUAUUAUUAAAAUGUACUUCCAGCGGAUAAGCCUGUGUGUUUGCUGCAAUAUUAUACAUGUUUCUUUGUUACUUUAUGUCUAGUUUCUACUGUUGAAAAAUAAGCAUCUCUACAUGACACUAUUAUUCAAUUUUUUAGUGUUGUACUUUUAUCUCUCAAGAUGAUCCACUUUGUUCCUUGCAUAAAUUGCCUUUUGUUAGAUCUCAGCUCCAAAGUGACCAUAUAUAUUAUAUGCUGGAACAUUUUUUGCAGACAUAAUACCUCUCAACAGACCCAUUCUGAUCUCUUUGAUUCAUUUCCAUCCUUGAGACUUAAUUCUUCACAACGGAAGGUUUCUUCAGCCAUGAGCUCUUUACAAGGUUAUUAUGGGCUCAAGUCAGAAACUGAAACAGGGCAUUCCCAAGGUUUUGAAAUGGCAGACUAUAGACAAGGAGAUUCUCACUAUCUUGAACCAUCACCAGCUUCAAAUACACCAUUGAGCCACCAUCGGAAAUCCAGGAGCUUAGCUAAUGGUUUUAGAGAUGAAAAUAAUGGAGUGGCUGACGACCAGCUUAUUGACGAAGAAAGAGAAAGUGACACAGGGAAAUGGAUAGAGAAAUUGCUUAGAAGGCGUCAGAAGUCUGAUGCUGACUUUUCUUCCAGAUAUCCUGAAAUGCUUAUGAGAGAGGAUACUGUUGCAGGUGUAAGUUCAGCUAUCACAGGAAAGAGCUUAGCUUUGAGAUCCAAAGCAGCAAGUCGAACUGCGUCGCCACUUGAUGCUGAAGCAGGUGGUUUGACCCCCGUAGGCAUGGGCGAUUCUCUUCUGAGUGGUGGAUUUUACAGUGUAAGGAAGUCAUCAAGCACAUCAAGCUUAAAUGAUCAGGACAACGGCAAUUCUUCCAUCUGGCCAACGUCCAAGUGGAGUUUGACGUCAGAUUUACAAGCCCUUUCAGCUGCAGCCAUAGCAAGACCAAUCUUUGAUGGAUUGCCAAAACCAAUAACUGGUCGAAGAAACAAAACGGCACUUGAUUAGCUAUCUCUUAUUAUAAGAAAUCCAUUUUUGAUUCUGAUCUGCAUUUUGGCAGGCACUGCAUAGCUAGUACACAAAAGGGUAAAUAGAAAAUAGACUGGAAAAAUGUCAAAAGUAACCACCCUAGUUUAAUACGAGAGAUGUUCCUAUAUACAGGAAAGUAAAAAAGAAAAUUUAUUCAAUUUGUAUAAUUUAUUCUGGACUGUCCAAGUCCAUAUUGGAAACGUGGAGGCAAUAAUGCAGAUUAAAUAAUGCAUUGAUUGAUCUUAUAUUCCCGUCUUUGACAUGUUAGCUGUACUGACCAAGUCAAUGUAGAUUCCAUUUUGUUUGUCCGAUACAACAGUCUCGUUUUCUUUCAGAAACGGCUCAAUGUCAAAGGUCGUUUUUGCACAAAAUAUAUUUAAAAGAGUAAUGCGGCUAGACUUGAUGCAUUUUCAAAUCUAUAUAAGACUUUAGGGUAAACAAUAAAAAUCAACUGGGUUUGAAUUUUUUAAUUUUGGAUCAUUUAUUACGUUUGAUAGUUCUUAGAUUGAUGAAAUCUGAAAUUCUCAUAUUUCAUAAAUCCAUGAAAUUUCACAUUCUUUUAUAGUUAAAAAACAAAUUAAUUAAUUUGAAGGGUAUUUUAAAAUAAAAUUAAAUGUUUUAAAUUCUAUAAUAAAAAAAAAAUACACAUGUAGAAUAUAAGGUGAAAUUUCUCAAUCGAGACCAUAAUGAAGUCUGCCAAUUGUAUGAAUUGUAGCUUAUUUUCAUUGGACCAAACAAAAAAAGUAGACAAAUCUAGAACCUCUAGCCAGAUUUCAUCAAAAUUAAUAAAAAUUACAAAUUAAUAAAGGUACACAAACAAUUAAUUUAAACAAUAAAAUUAAUUUACAAAUCAAACAAGAUUAAUUUCAUGUUGAUCUGUACCGAAAAUUUGUCAUAUUACGAAUAUAAUCAUCAGAUCCAUAGGAUUGCAAAUUCUACCAAAAUUGUUAAAAUUUUGAUGCAAGAAUAAACCAAUUCUAUAAAAUUAACAAAAAAAAUUCUAAAUAAAUAUUCAUUAAUAUCAAAUAUGAAAUAUAUGUUCCACCAAAAAAAAAAAAAAAUGAGACAUGAAUUUAAAAAUAAAUUUUAUAAAAUUCGAAGAAAUUAUCGAAACUGCUUUAUAUUUGGGUAAAUAUUAAAUGCCAAAGAAUUGGAUUUAUAAGAGUAAAAUGUCACAACAUGAAAUUCUAAUUUUGUGAAAUUUAUUUAUUCCCCACAAGAUCCAAUUAAUGCAACCCAUCAAAAAGCAAAAUUUUACAAUUCAUUACGACUAAUGACAGUCUAAUAUUCUUAGCUGAGAUAUUCGUAUCUGCUGUAAUCUCAAAUGAAAAUAUAGUCUGCACAAAGGAACUUUGUGUAGCAAUUGUACAACUAGAAAUGUUGACAGUAACAAAAGUAAAUCAUAUACUCGAUCUGUAAAAUAGUACAGAGAAUGCAAGACUAUAAAUAUAUGCAUAAAGAUUUAAUAAUUUGUAAAUUAAUUGCUAUUUCUUAGGGGGAAAAAAAGAGAUGCAUCACUUUGUGGAACCAACUUUACUUUCUUUGAGAUAUUCUUCAAGAAAAGCUAAUUUCUAUCUAAUAAAUACAAAAUUAUGAGCAACGUCUGGUUUGGGAAUCCAUGACAAAUAUUUACCUCAACAUUUUGCAGAAGUUGUCUGCCAAAUAGAAAUCUUAUUCUUCAAUGUUUACCGUGAUGAAACACCAUGAACUAUGACAAUUUUUCGCUAGAUGUUUUGCCCAAACCUGUGCCAACAAAGCUUGCAGUUAUCAUCUAAUUCCGUGGAAAUAAUAAAAUAAAUUAUGCAACAUCAUAUAAAUUCACAGCUUUUAUGUUUAAGCAUCACUAGCAACACCCCACCGCCUCCACAUGCAUUAGUGAGGAACCCAGCUAUGGAUGGUUCAAAAUGAAAUAAUUAGAGAAAGGAGGGAAGGAGGCUUGUAAUGUCAAGUUGCACUUCAAUUUUGAGGCAAAGUCUCGUUCAAUGAGGCCCCUCCAAAAUCACAGAAUAACAUCUAAAAAUUAAUUGUUUCCACGAAAAUCACUAAUUUUACAAGGAGAAAACGGGUGUUGGACAAAUGGGAAGGGCUAAGUUCUGAAAAUAAAACAAAACGAAAAUGCUAGAAAUGUUUCUACAAUUCAUUAUGAAUAAAGAAUAUUCAAAUUACACCCAAAUUAAUAGACUUCAAAAGCAUCAAGCAAACAGCCACCCUGGAGUACUUUCAAGUCAACUGAAAUAUUUCAAGAAAGUCAAUUAAACUGUUGCCUUUAACCUAUCAGAGUCUCUCCAUAACAGUCCUUAUCCAGGCUAUAAAUUCAGCUCUGAAGAUGGACACUUGUCAGGAUUUCAAUUUUGAAUGUAAAAGACAACUUCCUCAUCAAUUAAUACCAGCAAGAGGAAAUGCACACAGAACAACCUACUACAGCAGUGUACAUGGAGCCUACAAGAAGUCUUACGAGGAGCCACGACCUGAUACAUCUACUAAGAUUUUAGCUGUACAAUAUCAGCAACAUCUUGCAUAGUGUGACAUUCUUGUGUUAUUUAAACAUUCCAACUCUUCUCGCACUUCAUACAGUUAUUUAACCAAUUGCAGCGCUCAUACUCUCUUCUCUUUCCGACUAGAUAUGAAGGAUCAAAAAGUAUUCUAUUUAGGAACAAUUCAGCUAAUGUUCAGAUUUGACAGACAAGAUAAAGUAAAAGCUCCUCAGCUAUAACGGAAUUAAUUGCACAUCUGAGUUUAAUAUGUAAAUUGUGUGCAGUUCUCAGCAUAUAAAUAAAAUUAGCAAGUCAUCCCACUCUCUUAUGUUGCACAGUAAAAAGCAAAUGACAGCUUUCCUUUCACCAUCUAUAAAAUUUCUUCAAUAGUCUUCCUCUCCUCCAUAUCAACCAGUAAAUAAUUGAAGGGGAAACUCCAAACUCUAGAUAUUCCAAUUUAUAAUACAAAGAAUUCAUGAAAAGGAAAGGGCGAAAUCAAAGGAGUCCAAAUUCAGAUAUGAAGGGGUAGGGGACCUUGAACAGCUGCAAAUGAGCAGUGAUGAAUAAGCAUCAAUUGGCAAUCAAACUAUGUGUUUUCUCAUAUUAAGGAACAAUCAUAAGCUGCUCAUUUUUUUUUAUAAAGUUAUUAGCAGAGACAUCAACACCUUAAUUCAGUCAAAUACAAAAUAAAAUCACUGGCUGGAAAGGAGCUGCCGCAAGACAAAAUAUUAAAAUGUCCAAAUUCCCCAAAGCAAGAACAUGUCAUCUUAUAAUAUCAGGGGCAAAAGACUUGUGCUCUUUACAAUUUCAGGUGCAGAAGGCAUUCCUUCAGCAUUGCAAAGCGAGACAGAAUAACAUGCAAAAAUAAUAAAAGGUUCCAGGUCCAGGCAUACUAGUUUUUCAUGCUUCCAAUAAUCAGGGUUCUAUUCCUGCUAUUAACCAAGGUGAUGGGUAUGUGCUUCUAGCCAUGAUAGCAUAGUUAUACCAUCUCCUCUCUUCUUAUCUUUCCUCCCACUCUAAAAACAAAAUAGUAAUUAAUUAAUUACAGAAUUUUUUUAUUAUUUAUUUUUAUCUUUUUAUCUUUUUACGAAGAGGAUGUUGCAAGUACAGAUGUUUACAGCCAAGCUGCUCGAGUCAAUUUCAUUGAGGUCGCACAUGGCAUGGAGCGUUGGAAGUUUUUUGAAACUGCAAUUCAACCAACUGUGAUGAGUGGCAGUGAGAGUUGGGCAGCAAAGGAAACACGCACAAAAAAAAAAAAAAAAAGAUGUCCCAGUAUUGAUGUGUAACCAUAUAGGAUAGUUUGAAAUAAAUUUAUUUUUUGAGAAGGUAGGAGCAGCAACCUAUCAAGAGAAAAAAAUGAGAGAAAAAUGGUUAAGAUGGUUUGGUCAUAUAUGUCAUAGACUGCCGGAAACCCCCAUAAGGAAAACAGAGCACCUUAAAGUUGACAAGACUAGAAAAAAGUGAAGAACACCCAAGAUGACAUGAGAAGUUAUAAAAUAGUGCAAAACCAAGCGAAAUGGAAAAAAUGGAUCCAUGUAGCCACCCAAAACUACUUGGGUUUUAGUUGUCAUUUUGUUGUUGCAAGGUUGAGCACCUGAGAAUCUUUAAUUUCAUUUAGAACAAGAGUAUUAACUGCUUACAUAUAGCUAUUCCUUAUAAGAAGGAAUGGGAAGGUAGGUAGACAGAAAACAUUAGGAUUAAAGCCUUCGUGAUAUAAAGUUUUCUAUUUUAGUAGCUUUUAUAAUAUUUCAUAAAAGAUUCUGUAUAUAAAUAUGAUGAAUGCAAACAGAAAAAAGAUUUGAAGGAAGAAACAGUUUUUGGAACAUUUAAAAGAAACUUUUUUCCAAAAAAUAAACAUAAACCUGGAAAUUUUUUGAAGCAAAAAGCUAAGGAUUUACUCCACGAUCAACCAGGAAAACACUGGAAAGAGUCAAAUAACAUGUAGCUAACAUUCAAAAACAGAACAUGCUUGUGACAACUAAUUCCCAUCAAUCAGAGGCAAAUUCCUGUCUACAAAAGCAAACAGAAAAAAUAAGCGAGGUGACUUGGAUGAGUUCUUUCCCAACAAAGGUACUGGAGUUAGUGAAGCACUAAGGCUGUAAAGUAGUAUCAUGCAUCUCCAGUCAACUUCAAAAGAAGAACACCUUUUUACCCCCAUUUUUUGAGAAACAAAAUAAUAUUUAUUUUAUUGUAAUACAUAAUGAGCCGUUUCCAGGAAGAACCAAAAGGCAAUUCAACUCGCCGUACUAAGUUGUAAAUAGGAGAAAAAAUAGAAUUAUUAGGGUAUCACAUUUUUGGGUUGAAAUUGACACAACACAGUUAAUAGCGUAAAAAAUCCAAACAUGUAGCUAACAAGACCUGUCCAUUUAGCCUGUUACGUCAUGAAUAGCCACUUGGCACAAUUAGCUAAGUUGUUUUUCAGAAGAAAAAAAAAAAAUUAUUAAGAAAGAAAGAGAUCAAUGUACUAUAGGAUAAGAAAGUCUCCUAUAAUCCAAAAAAUAAUUAACAAGAAGAUAAAUAAAACACAAGCUACAAAAGUAAUGCCUUCCAAUCGAGUAUAACAAAAUUCAAAGGGACUCUUUAAAAGCUCUGGAAACACGAGUCAAUAUAAAACCCAAAAGCAACACAUUCACAGCAAACGAAUGGACAUGCUCUGGUGAUUCCUAUCCAUCAAAGACUGUGCACAAUUUAAAAGAACACUGACACCUUCCCUGAACAAAACCUUUUCCACUUUAAACCAACAGAGGUCCCUAAUGACUCUAGGCACGCCAGAUGCAUCUCAAAAAUGCAAAAGAGCAAUUCUAGAUAGCCCAAACCACUUCACGAUGCAAAAUAGCUGAGAAUGAUUCUUGCCAGACUCAUAACACAUAACACAACAAUCAGGAGAUAAAGCCUUUCUAAGACUCUUUUUUUUUCUUCCAACAAAAGGCCAUAGUAAUCACCUUUUGGAGAAUGGCAGACCAAACAGAAACUUUUAUUUUCAGUAGCAUUAGCUUUCCAAAGUUGAUUGAAACAUUGAAAUGAAUAAUCUAGAAAAGAGCAAGGUGGAAUCAUAAGGAUAUAAAUGAACAUAUUCUAGUGGAAUUCACAUACCAAAUAUUUCUAUCUUCACUAAAAGACGAUAGUUUUCUUUCAAAACUGAUGUGAACAAUUGAUAAAUAAAUAAAAACAACUAAUUUUCUUUGCAGAUGAAAAUUUUAAGAAAAGUUUUGGCCUUCUUUUUCAUAGCGACAACUAGCAUGAUGACAUGAUUCUUACAUGUCAAAAUCAUGUUGGCAUGGUCAUCAAAGAAAAACAAUUAAGGAAAUGCCAAACCUCUAAUUUUGUUGUUUACUUGUUCAUGCACAGAGGAGGAUAACUUUCCUCCCAAGAAACACACAACGGGUGGCAAAAUGUAGAAAACCUGUCAAAUACAAGAGGAAUGGUAAAACAAUUGCCUAAUGCCAAAGAAAGACCUCUAAAAAUCAAAAUACAGAACGCUGAAAGGAAUCAGAGAUCCUAUCCUUCCCAAAGGAGAUGCAACAAUAAAAAAAGUAUCCAUAAAAUGUGUUGCAUUCUAUUCCAACUAUUAAUGCCACACUUCAAAAGAACUUAUCCCCAUCUCGUCCUCUCAAAACCUCCAGACUGAAUGACAGCAAAAUUUUUAACUUUGAUGGAAAAACAAGAUAGUCACAAAAUAUUUUUUUUAAAAGAAAAGUAAGAAUUAUUCUGUGCAAAAAAAUUUGCUUCUCUUACUUCAGACAUUGACUCUUGUCAAAAAUUUUUGAAAUAAGGGUAAGAACCUUGGGAAUUUAACUCAUUUAUGAAGGAUUACCAGAAAUUUAGAAGUUACGUCCCAACGUCAAUGACAUAAUGAGCAUUUAUGAGUGGGCUCCCUCACUCAGUUUCUUCAUCAUUCCAACAUUCUAACUAGCAGAUCUAAUUCACCUUUCGUAGGUCAUCAUUUCCACUUAAAACCAGAAGCAAGGCCAACUCUAGCACUUCAUAUGUGUUUAGCUGUUGCACAUUAACAAGACAUUUUAGUUGAAAGAAGAGUUUGAUUUUGGAAGUUAUCCUUUUUGUAAAACUUGUGAGAAGUACUUUUAGGACAUCUAAAAUUGAUGAACAAGGUUGCACUGUUGGACACAAUUCAGUAUCUCCUAAUAGAUAUAGUUCACUUGUGAAUAUAUUAAAAUAAAAAAAGAAAAGGAAGGAAGAUGGUUUUCAUAAAAACAAAGUUAUUUUAGAAAACUAAAAGCAUGUCAAAAACUAGUAUUGAAGAUCUUAACGAGAAAAAGGUAGCUUCAAUUUCAUAGAUGCACUAUGUAUGAUCCUAGUUAUGGCUCCAAUGCACAUUGGUUCCAAACUUCAUAAUCCUAAUCUUCCUUCAUCAAUUACAGAGUGAGAUAGAACUAUAAUUUCUGAACAGAAAAGGAGUUUAUCUCCUUCAUUGGCCCAAAACUAAAUUAGCAUGAACAUAAGAUUUCUAUUUAAACAAACAGCUUAUCAUAUUAGUAUGUCCUGGACACAUGCACCCAUAGAAAGACAAGGUAUACUGUUGGCCCAAUGCAUUGCAACAAUCCAUGAACCAAAAUGUACCAGCCAGGAAGUCACCACAAGUAUAUAUCAUCUCUGUAUGCGUCCAUACAAAGCCAAAUAUAUCAAUUAUAAUACAUCGGCAAAAAUAUCAGUCCAUUAUGUAUGAGCAAAAAACAUGAUAAAUACUCUAUGAAUUGACAGUUAAAACUACAGCUUUUACCAAAAUAAUCUAUAUAUUAGAAAAGGUAUAAAAAAUAAAUAAAUAAUUCCCUCAUGUUUAGCUUUUGAUGCCUUAGGUAUAAGAAUCCUUUGAAUCAUUAUAGGGCUUUGAAGUUUUAGUUAUUGUGGCUUUAUUACCAUUUUGACAAUCAUUUCUGAACUUACAUGAAACCAAUUAAAUUAACCAAUAUCAAUUAAAUAGUUUCCAACAGCCAAAUUUAAUUUGCCUGAUUCAAUGUUUAUAGCAUUUGUAAAAUUCAAGGAAUAAAAGAGCAGCAUCUUAUUCUUUUCGCGAGAACUUCCAGAUCAGAAAAGCAUUUGUACAUUACAAUUUCUUUCUCCAUGAUAAAAACUAAAAAUAAUGUAGCAUCUGGAUUACUGUGUAGCUAAUAAUGUUCAAGCAUAAUUCUCACUUGAUGAGACACGUACAAGCAUAGUUGUUGCAGUGACUACAAACUAAAACUUAUAUCUAAAAUGGUGCAACAAGAUUUCUUCCUCUAGUACAAAAACACUAGGCCAUAGGGUAUCUUACCCCUAAAGUGAUAUUUUUACAGGCCAACAUAAAUGCAUAAAGCUUUUUGUCAAUCAUUUUCUCGAUACAACUUGGAAAAAAAAAAUUAGAGUUCAAAUUUGAUUUCAGAGUAUAUAAUUUAUUUUAUAUUGGAUUCAUUGUCAAAACCAAGCCAUUCUACAAGGGAUUAAAUGGUAAAAUAGGUGACAAUGUAAGAUUUCAUUGAAUUCAUUCUUGUAGGACUAUGAUCAGUUCACAAAAACCAAAUCAUUAAUGCAACCUUCAAAGAACAUAAUUCAAGGAACGGAUUUCCCUUAACUCCAUAACUAGUUAUUUUGGUAAUCCAAUACUUAAUAUUGCAAUGGGUUUGCUCCAACAUAAAGAAAACGUUAAAUCAAAGACAAAGUAAACCUGGGAAGGAGUAAUAAUGCAAUUUUUCAGGUAAUAAAACACAAUGUAGUUUGAGUUAUGGGUCACAAGACCAACAUUAAAAUACCUAUGAUAAUAAUAGACAUAAAAUUUCCCACUUCUGUACUUUUGCUGUUCAAUUUCAUAAAAGCAGCAUAGAAAAUUAAGUGGUCCAUACUCCACAAGCAUAAUGGAGCAGUGCCAGAUGAUGAAUGAAGAUCUAGCCUCAUCUUUAAACCAUGAACUGCAUAUAAGGCAUUCCCACCACCCAAUGAAGUUUCUUUUGCCAACUUCUAAAGAUGAUCAGAGAAAGUUCCUCUACACUGCAUCAGGGAAACUGGAAUGCAACAUUGAGGAUACAAUAUAAAGGUAUCCUUCUGCUUAAGUUAAUUGCUCUAAAAUAAAUGCAAACAUGCAUACACAACUAACUAUACAAAUUCAAAAAAAAUAAUAAUAAAAUAAAAUAAAAUUUCAUUAGCAACUCGCACUUGAUGGAAUUUGAACAAUAAUAAACUGACAAGACACAAUUAUAUUUGUACCUCUGCAAGGAAAAGGGGCAACACUAUAUCAAAGAAAACAAGACAUAGAUGAUAAUGCUUUGAAAGGAUUCACAGAAUUCACUUCCCAAAAUCUCUUAUUUGGAACAAAAUUUUUUCUCAUACAAUAAUAUAACUCAUAAGUUUAAUUACAGGAGUUGAGAAACAGAUGUACUAACCAAGUCAGAAACAUGAGCCUACAGUCCGAAGAACAUGUUCCCAGGAUAUUUGUCAGGAAAUAUUACAAUAUACACAGUCCUGCCAAGUGCCUCCAUAAGGUCUAAACGCAACCUUCAAAUGCCAGUUAUAUCUUGUUCAGAAGUGGACUCGCCUUUUAAGGUGUAUUAUAAUGUGAAUUCAUAAAUUGUGUUCCCACCCAUUGCACUGACCAAAACAAUAUAUAGAUUGAUCACGAAUUAGACUGAUGUUAAAUAUACUCUCACAGAUGGACACUAGUGCUUAGUUCUACAAAACAGUAAAGUAUGGACAUCCUUAGUGUUAGACUAUAUGGGGGAGGGAAGACUUGAACUUCAGUUUGUCAAACCAUCCAAUAUUUAGCUUUCUUCGACUAUGCCAUAGCAAAGAAUUUGCACUAAAUUGUCAAAUAUAGAACAUUUGAACAUCAGUUAAAUGACCUUUUAAUUCAUUUAAAUUUUUCCACAGCAAAGAUUUAGCCAAAUACCAUCAGUUAAAUUAUCAAAAUUAGCUGCUAUGCUGAUGCCAUAGCAAAGAAAAGUUAGCCAAGUACCCUGUCAUAUAAUACAUUGACAUUCAAGGAAGAAAGGGUAAUUCCAUGCCAGUUAGUGCAAAGAAGUUCAAUUAACCGCAAUCACUUUCGUAUCAUUUUUUGCUGAUGUUGUACAAAUUGUACUCGCAAGCACACAUCAUGUCAAUUACAUUACACCAUACUAAAGAAUGAUAGCAGUAGCACAUUAACAUUUUGGUUCUUUGAAACAAAAUUUUAUUAUCACUAAACUAUAAGGUACAUCCCUAAAUUUUUCCAGCAUUUAAAAGCCCAAUAUUUACAAGGUCAAUUACAUCAUGGAAGCCACCAGCUUCAAGUCACAUUCUUAAAAGGAAUAUGGAACCUUCUUUAUCUUGAAAGGAUCAACAACUUUCUCAGAAGUUCAGUUGGCUCAAAAAAAAAAAAAUGACAAGGAAAGAAAAACAUACUUAAGCUUUAUUUUUAAGCUGGUCUCCAGCAAUUAAGAGCGGACAUAUCCGGUCUACAUGGCAAUACAUGUGAAACACCAUGACCUGAAGAGAGAAAAAAAAGGUUAGAUUGGAGUAUAACUAUCAAAUAGUAUAUCAUAACAUUUUAGCAAAAAAUGAGGCAGAUUUUUAUUGAGCUGGGUCACCUGGGAUUGGGGCUCCAGCUGGUAAAUUGUUAGCAGAGGAAAGCUGAAAACCCAUAUUAUUAACAGGUGGUCUUUCAAUGGGUGGCCGAAAAUAACCUGCCAGGGAAAUUUUGAAUAGCAUUAUUCUACCAAAUAGCAUUAUUCUACCAAAUAACAAACAUGGCAACAAAAGAGAAAAAAAAAAAAAAAAAAAAAAAAAAAAAAAAAAAAAAAAAAAAAAAAAAAAAAAAGAGAAGAAAUAAUAUAAUAUAAAGAGAAAAACUUCCAACUCCUGGACGAAGUAUUGAUGCAAACAAUUAAAGAAACCAUAUGGAAUUACAUAAAUUAUUUUGACAGGUUAAAGUUCAAAGUAGAGUAAUUGGAGUAUUUUUUUUUUUUUAAUGAUAUGGAGAAAUUUAUUAAUUUUACAAAUUUUCAAGAAUCAUAUUAACCAAGAAAUGCAGUUUAAUCAGUCAAGGCAGGAUCCAGGAAUGUAACUUUGCAUGUAGCUGUUAAAAGGACAAGUGCAUACCGUCCUGCCCAAAAGAAGGACCAGCAUGUGAAGGAUUUCUUCCGCUCAUCCAUGCACCAUGCUGAUUAUCCGUGUUAAAUUCAGUUGAGGGCAUCCUCCAAGCUUCAUCUCCAACAAAUUGCCUUCGUCCAUCAGGAUGAGACGGCAAUGGAUAUGCACAGGGAUAUGAAUGCUGAGGAUGCUGCUGAAUUGCAGGCUUUGCAAAAGAAAAAUGACCAGAGGCUUGCGGUAAGUUCGGGUGCAAAGGUCUCUGUGCAAAAGGUGCACUACCUGGCUGAAAAUGUGGGUUUUGUUGAGAAGCUUGGGGUUUUAAAUAUAGGUCCUUAUGUCCAUAUUCCAAUUGCCUAGAUGUAUUAUAUCCUGAAGGUUGAGAACUGCAAACUGCUGUAGGUGUGAAGCAAGGUGACUGCUGUGGAUACAACUCACUCUUUACAACAACAUCCAUAUGAUUCCCAUGAGUAUUUCCAGACAUUUGUGUGAGUUGGUUACCCUGCAAACACAGGAGAGAGGUCAUAAUAAACACAUGCAACAUACUGGAUUUUUUAGAAGGUGAAAAGAGGGGAAGGGGGCCCAAAAAAAAGAGAAGAAAAACAAAAGAAAGAAAGAGUAAAAAGUCAUACACUGGCUGUGCUGCAAUAUUCAUGAGGAACAGCUGGUGGGUAUGCCAACUGUGGUGAUGACUGUAGUGUUGACACAGAUGGUAGAAUUGGUUGAGAUACCAAGGAAGGUUGGGUUGGCACUGACCGUUGAAGUACCAGUGACUGAAGAGGGCCUGCAGGGGGUACAGGAGGAGGAGGUGGCUGUGAUGGAAGAGGUGGUGGUGGCGGCGGUGGUGAUGGAGAUGUUGGCGGUGGAGGUGGGGGUGGAGGUGGGGGUGACGAAGGUAAAGGUGGUGGUGGAGGAGGAGAAUCAGGAGGCAGUGGAGGAGAACCCUCUGGUAGUGGAGGCAGCACAACAGAAUUGUCAAUUACAGGUUCCAGUACUCCAUCUGAGCAAUGUUGCUGUGCAUCCACUUCAAAAGGACCACUCGUAAAAGGCCUUUCAUCCUUCUGGUUUCCAGAGACAUCUUCCAUUUCAAGCUCACCAUCCACAUCCUCUAAAAUGCAAUGCCGCCUGUCAUUUGGAGUAAUAACACAUGUUUCUGACUCUCCUAAAGUACGAGUGGCCUCUGCUAGUGAUGAUAUGUCACCAUCUUCCUUCGGUGAACUGCUUGGAAGGUCCUCCUCCUCAUCUUCAUCUUCAAAUACAUUAGAAGAUAAAAAGCCAGGCAGCUGAAAUGUAGCAUUGCUGGUACAAGAGCCAAGAAAAUAACAGAUAGAUCAAUGAAUCAGAGAUGUAACAUUAAUAGCACAAAAAGAAUUGAGGGAAAAAGUUGCAAAAUGCAUCAAGAAAUUUCUGAUAUUGUCUAAAACAAAGCUCAGCACAGACAAACAAAAUGCAUAGGUGACGAGUGGAAGCAGAGAACCCUAUACAAAUGCAAAUAGCAAAACUAUCCAGAAUCCGAGAACCCUAUACAAAUUUUGCAUAGAUCAAAAACAAUACAUUUCCAAACAAUGUAGAGAUUAGAGUUUAACAGAGUAACAAAAUAUAUAUAUAAAGGAAAUUACACACUUGCACCCAAGGCAGUGUUUUCUCUAAUUGAACUUUGACAAUGGCGAUUCCUUUUCCCAAUAACAGUGUAUAAAUGUAAAAUUUGAUGGAUUCUCACUUGCAUUUUUUAACUAAGCCUGUGUUUGCAAAGGAAUAAAAAUAAAUGAGGAAGACAAGUGGAAGCACUGAAAUAAUCACCAAAAAAAAAAAAAAAAUUGCCAAAGACGUUAGGUUAAAACUCAUAAUUUGCAGCAGAGCAAAGCAUACAAGCAAAAGUAUAGUAGCAAUGUGAGGACAAAGCAAUAUUAAUUACUCUUACAAUCAUGGAUGAAAAAAACAUGAGAUGGCAAAAUAUAAAAUCAAAUCAAGGAGAAUUUACACCUUAAAAAUGCCACGAAGAAGACUUCAUUUAAAUCCCAUAAGUCUAAAGGAAACGCCCAUCUAAUCCUCAUUGAUGCCCAACAUACUAACACAGAAAUAAGUGUUUCCAAUAUCACUACCCAGUAUCACUUUUGAAACUUCUGCUACAAAUGAGGUAUGCUAACAUUACAUAAUCGUAUCUCUUUUGAAAUAUCAAUUUAUGACUUCGUACAAAAGUAAAUUGACGCAGGGGGAAAAUGUAGGGCUGUCAAUUUUCAACAAGUAAGCUAGAAUAGGGUUGAUUGUAGAUGGAACAGUAAUCAGUAAUUAGGUAUAUAACCUUUGAAUUAAAAUUAUGAGGAAAAUAAGAUGAUUUACAAUGCUACUAGUGCUGUCUACUUAUAGUGAUAAAUCCUAACUAGACUAGGAAUCCUAAUUAAAGAAAGAAUUAGAACUCUACUCCUAUUCAAUGAUAAAAUAGUAAAUCCUAAUCAAAUAAGGAAACGGAAAACUAAUGCAAAUCUGAAAUAAAACAGUAAAUUAAAUAAAAUCCUAGCUGUGCUAAGAAUCCAAUUAGGACUAAGAUUGCUCAUGCAUCAUUCUCCCCGGGUUUGAAAAAGACUCGGCUCCGACGAGUAAGCCUUGAUAUAUUCUGCAUAUAUGGCUAGAUCAACUUGCUUUAGCUCUUCAUCAGAAAUCCAUGUACUUUCACUUGCAGGUUUUCCAAAACACUUAACUAAAAAUCGUCUAUAUUGGUUGUCACGCCUAGAACGAGCUUCCUUGACANNNNNNNNNNNNNNNNNNNNNNNNNNNNNNGAUACAAGUCGGAAACAUUAAAUAUUGGGCUGAUUUUUAAAUCAGAUGGAAGAUCAAUUACAUAGGCAUUGGAACUGAUCUUCUUCAACACCUUACAAGGUCCAAACCUUCUAGAUUUCAGCUUAUGAUAAGUUCCUUUAGGGAAACCUUCUUGUCUUAAGUGGACGAGAACCCGAUCGCCUUCUUCAAAUUCUUGUACGCGCCGAUGCUGGUUGGCUGUAUAGGCAUAUGAUGCAUUGCUGUCUUUUAAGGCAGCUUUCACCUCUAUAUGAAUUUUCCUGAUGUGAUCAGCAAACAAUUCCCCUUCAGCACUUACUCUAGCCUCUUGGGGCAAGGGCACCAAAUCGAGUACAUUCUGAGGUUUAAGUCCAUAAGCAGCCUCAAAAGGAGUCUUCUUAUUACUUCGAUUGACUGAGUUGUUAUAUGUGAAUUCAGCUUGGGGAAUAACUAGAUCCCAUGUCUUUGUACUGGUCCCAACGAGACAUCUUAAUAGAUUUCCCAAACUACGAUUGACAACUUCCGUCUGACCGUCUGUUUGCGGAUGGCAAGCACUGGAAUAUUUCAAUUCAGUUUCAAAUUUUCUCCAUAAAGUCCUCCAAAAGUGCCCCAUAAACUUUACAUCUCUAUCGGAAACAAUAGAAGUUGGAACACCAUGUAGUCUCACAAUCUCUUGAAAAAAUAACUCAGCAAUGUGAACUGCAUUAGAAGUCUUGAAACAUGGGAUAAAAUGAGCCAUUUUAGAGAACCGAUCCACUACAACAAAUAUAGAAUCAAAUCCCUUUCCUGUCUUUGGAAGUCCCAAAACAAAAUCCAUACUCAAGUGAACCCAAGGUGCAUCUAGCUCGGGUAAAGGAGUAUAUAAUCCUAUAUUUUGCGCGCUCCUCUUUCCGAGUAAAUAGGCUAGACAUCGUUCCACCAAUUUUCUCACAUCUUUUUCCAUCUAUGGCCAAUAAUAACGGUCGGAAACAAUCGCAAAAGACUUGUCUCUACCAAAGUGUCCUCCCAAACCAUUUCCAAGAAGUUCUCUAAUGAUUUGUUCCCUUAAAGAUCCUUCAGGAAUGCAUAGCUCAUUGCCUUUGAAUAAAUAACCAUCUUGCAAUCGGUAUGGCAGACUUUCAGCUUCUAAAGAAUGCAGUAAAUCAGCCUUCAUCUUGCCAAAACAUGAAUCUGAAUCAUACUGGUUUUUCAGUUCUUCAAAACCAGUAAUUUGAGUGCUCAAAAUUGACAAAAUUAGGGAUCUUCUACUCAAUGCAUCAGCCACAAUAUUAGAUUGACCGGAUUUAUACUUUAGUGAGAAAUUAAAUUCAUCAAGGAAAGAACUCCACUUAGCAUGUCGAUUGUUGAGUUUAUUCUGAGAUUUUAGAUACCUCAAGGCCUGAUGAUCAGAAAAAACCACAAACUCACGAUAAGCUAAGUAAUGUUGCCAAUAUCGAAUAGCUCUUACCAAGGCAUAUAACUCUAGAUCAUAAGUUGAGUAACGCUUCUUAGCUUCAGACAACUUUUCACUAAAAAACUCAAGAGGUCUGCCCUCUUGGCUAAGAACAGCUCCAAUCCCUUCAUGUGAAGCAUCACAUUCGACAAUAAAUAAUUUCUCAAAAUCUGGAAGUGCAAGAACAGGUGCUCUAGUCAUCAAAAACUUGAUUCUUUCAAAUGCCUUUUGUGCAGAAUUUGUACACUCAAACUUUCCUUCUUUCAUAGAUUCAAUUAUAGGACUCAUAAUUGAGCUGAAAUUUUGGAUAAAUCUCCUAUAGAAAGAGGCCAAACCAUGAAAGCUUCUAACUUCUUUGAUGGAUUGUGGUGCUGGCCAUUCGGUAAUUGCACGAACCUUUUCUGGAUCUGGUUUUAAUCCUUCAGCGGACACAAACAAUAUAUCCCAAGAAUACCACUUCUAGCUGCAGGAAACUGCAUUUUUUUAGGUUUAUGUGCAGCUGCUCUUGACAAAGCACUUCUAACACUUGUCGCAAGUGUUUUAAAUGAUCUUCCUCGGUGCGGCUAUAAAUCAAAAUGUCAUCAAAAUAUACCACAAGAAAAGAAUUCAAGAAAGGUUUGAUUACAUCUGUCAUGACUCUCAUGAAUGUACUUGGGGCAUUAGAAAGGCCAAAUGACAUUACUAACCAUUCAAAUAACCCAUCCGGUGUCUUGAAAGCUGUUUUCUAUUCAUCACCAUGCCUCAUUCUAAUUUGGUGAUAUCCAGUUUUCAACUCAAUUUUGGAGAACACUUUAGAACCCGCUAGUUGAUCAAGCAUAUCCUCCAAUCUUGGUAUUGGAAAGCGAUAUUUGAUUGUAAUCUUGUUUAUAGCACGACUAUCUACACACAUUCUCCAAGAACCGUCUUUCUUUGGUGUUAAUAAGGCUGGGCAGGCACAUGGACUUUUACUUUCACGCACCAGACCUUUUUCCAAUAAUUCCUUAACCUGUCUUUCUAUUUCAGCCCGCUGUAAAGGAGGCAUUCGGUAUGCAGGCAGAUUUGGUAAAGCUGCUCCUGGUACCAAAUCAAUAGCAUGUUGGAUGCUUCUUAAUGGUGGCAAGCUUUUCGGUACAUCUUCAUUAAUCAGCUCCUUGAAUUCUGCAAUAAUCGUUGAAUUUCAAAGGAAUAUUCAACUGAUUUUCAACCUGGUCAGCCCCUAUUAGUUUGCUCACUAAGGCAUACGUGACUCCCACCUCACUAUGCGCAGCUGCAAAUUCUUGAACACUUACAAGCCCAUUUAAUUUACUAAUUGCAGCUCCUUUAUUUGCUAUUUGCCUUGUUUCUUCCUUGAGAGGAUGCAAAGUGUACUUCUUGUUGUCCUUGUAGAACGAAUAAGUAUUAGGCCUUGUCUUGUGGUCCAUAUCAUGAUCAUACAACCAAGGUCGUCCCACUAGAAUAUGCCCAACAUCCAUUGGUACUACAUCACAUAGUGCUUCAUCUGCCAAGUCAUCUCCCAUUGUGAAUUGCACUAAGCAUUGAGAUGUUACUGGUAUCUCGUGUCCUUUCUUCAACCAACCUACUUUGNNNNNNNNNNNNNNNNNNNNNNNNNNNNNNNNNNNNNNNNNNNNNNNNNNNNNNNNNNNNNNNNNNNNNNNNNNNNNNNNNNNNNNNNNNNNNNNNNNNNNNNNNNNNNNNNNNNNNNNNNNNNNNNNNNNNNNNNNNNNNNNNNNNNNNNNNNNNNNNNNNNNNNNNNNNNNNNNNNNNNNNNNNNNNNNNNNNNNNNNNNNNNNNNNNNNNNNNNNNNNNNNNNNNNNNNNNNNNNNNNNNNNNNNNNNNNNNNNNNNNNNNNNNNNNNNNNNNNNNNNNNNNNNNNNNNNNNNNNNNNNNNNNNNNNNNNNNNNNNNNNNNNNNNNNNNNNNNNNNNNNNNNNNNNNNNNNNNNNNNNNNNNNNNNUCUCUUCAUUGUAUUUAUUAGUAGCAGCAGCCUCUUUCCCGCUUCGUUGAGUUGUUUGAAUCCCUCUUGCAGGUCCGAAAUUGUUUUGCAAAUUGCUUCUGUUUAUGGGCCUUCUAGCACCGUAACGAGAAACUCGCUUUUCAGCUGCUAAGGCAUAUUGGCGAGCAUCUUCAAGAUUGUGUAAUCGCAAUCGGACCAUUUCAUCUCUAAGGGACUGAUUCAAACCAGCAAGGUAGCGAGAGGGAAUUUGUUCAUUACUUUCAGAUAUUCCAACUUGAAUGGACAAAUUAUUAAAUUCUGCAGUGUACUCUUCAACAAACAUGCUAUUUUGUUUCAAGCAAUGGAACCUUUCAUAUAGUUCCAUUGCGUAAUCAGCUACUAAAAAUUGCUUCCUUAGCUUAGUUUUCAUGUGCUCCCACGUGCUGAUUUUAAGCUUUCCUUGUCGUGCACGCUGCUCCUCAACUCUCUUCCACCAUUGAAGUGCAGUACUCUUUAAUUUAAGCUUUACAAAAAGCACUUUUCGGGUUUCAACCAUUGGUUUCCAUUCAAAAUAAUUUUCUAAACUAGUUUCCCAAUCUAAAUAGUCUUCGGCAUGCGAUUUCCCAUGAAAAUCAGCGACUUCAAUUUUAACUCCUCCACUAUUUAAAUCAAGGGCAUGAAGUGAACGCUCUUCCAAUCUGCCUCGUGCUGCUGGGUUUGCAGGUCCAGCUUCAUGAAAGGGGUUUACGUCCUCGACUUCCUCUUCGCUCUCAAGAGCUUCUUGAAAAUCAAGGUUUUGAUGGUUGCCUUCCGGAGUCUCCAUUCAGGCUUCCAUGGGUUCCUGACGCUGCAAGGCUUGUACAGCCCGGGUCAAAUCCUCAAUCAUUCGCCAUAUCUCAGCUAUUUCAUCUUGUUGGGGCUGAUUACCUCUGCCUCUGCCUCUGCCUCUGCCUCUGCCUCUUCCAACCAUGGUUUAAUUCAGACAAAAAAAAAAGAAUUCUAGCAUCUGUUUUUGUGCUCUGAUACCAGUUGAUGCAGGGGGAUGAUGUAGGGUUGUCAGUUUUUAACAAGUAAGCUAGAAUAGGGUUGAUUGUAGGUGGAACAGUAAUCAGUAAUUAGGUAUAUAACCUUUGAAUUAAAAUUAUGAGGAAAAUAAGAUGAUUUACAAUGCUACUAGUGCUGUCUAUUUAUAGUGAUAAAUCCUAACUAGACUAGGAAUCCUAAUUAAAGAAAGAAUUAAAACUCUACUCCUAUUCAAUGAUAAAAUAGUAAAUCCUAAUCAAAUAAGGAAAUGGAAAACUAAUGCAAAUCUGAAAUAAAACAAUAAAUUAAAUAAAAUCCUAGUUGUGCUAGGAAUCCAAUUAGGACUAGGAUUGCUCCUGCAUCAUAAAUACAGGCUAGAACAGAGUUUAGAUAUUGAGCAGUGUAACAUUUGCAUGUGCUUGCACACCAAAAAACAGUAUUGCAUUCUAGAAUAUAAAAUCACAUAGAUGAUAGAUGUGCCAACGCUUUUUUCAAUCAACCUUGUGAUGUUUAGCCCAUCAGGUCAAGAAACCACAUUCAGAAUCCUAUAAUGUUUUAUUAAAAGGAAGUUAAAAUAAAGGAUUUUCAAAUUUUUGAUCUGAAUGAAACUCUCUUAUAUCAUGUGAUCUACAAUACACUCCAUGAGGAUGCAAGAAUCCAUUCUAACAGAAAGAUGAUGAAGAAAACAAUCAUGGAACACUGCCUGAAUCAUUUUCCCAGCAACUUAUGAAAGCAUUUAUAUUCUAAUCUCAAGUGGUUUUCCCUCAUUUUAAAAAAUAAGCAUCUCAUCUUUAAAAUGAAAGAGUACCAAUAACUUUAAUUGCAAAGGCAUUACCAUAAGGUUCUUUAACUACUUAUGCCCGCAUGUCCUCAACAUCAUGCACAACGUAGAUAUAGUUUUAGCUUUGAUAUGUAAGAAUAUAAAGCGCCAAACUUUACGUUCUUUUAUAUCUGCAUUCAACUAACUUCCCAAGACAAAAACAUUUAAAAGGACAAAGUGGUUUCCAAGAUGAAAUAAUGUCAUCACGAGACUUCGACUUAAUAGUAAAUAAUAUUAAUAAAAAUGAAAAAGCAACACAGACCUGCCAUAUUCAUCAACAAGCAUGCCUUCCAUUUCUCUGAUAGGGUCAUCUACAGCUCGCUCAGCUCGAGAUGGACGUCUAAGGGAAAAUCCAGCCGACGAAUCAUCAUUUGAAACUCCAAUAUCAUCCAUAUAGCGCCUCAAAACAGAUUCAGGUAAAAUUUUCCUCUCAAGCCACAAACGUAGAACCUGGUGAAGAUGAUGGAUCUAUUUAUACCUUCAAUGUAAAAUAUAAAGCAGUUUCUGCAAAUACAGAGAGGAAACAGAUUUUGCCUUGAGACACUGACGGCGGUUUUCACGAGCACCAGCCCCUGGAGGAGCAGCAGCACUAAGAAGACGUGGCAAUGCUGCUUGAACUGUUGGAACGUAUGAAGCCCCAGCAAUCCCUGAAGACAUAUUACAUAAAAAAUUAUAGCCGCAAUCAAAGAAACACAAGGAUUAACUUGGAGAUGCAAAUUUUGAAAGAACAAUGGCUAGGCAGGAGAAAGCAACCUUUUUGAUUAUGUGAACACUGGGUGAUCGAAUCAACAAGAAAGAAGAGGUCAACCUUACGAUGGAAACUGGGCUCACUUUCCAAUUUUCGAAUUAGAAGUUCCACAACCUGCACAAUCAAUUUGCUUAAAUUGAAGUCUAUCAACAUCAAUAUGACACUGUAACUUCAUUUCUGUAUCAAUAUGAAUAUGACAACCAUGUCAGUUCCUUUCUGUAUCUAUCAAUUCCCAUCACAAAUUUCCAACUUAAACUAGAUUAUCGAUUCAAGGUAUAUGUGAAAACUCUCUAUUAUUAAUGAUUUUCAAAAGUUAAAUAAAUGAAGGAGUUAGUACAUAACGGAGAAGAUAGAAAUGCUUUAUCUCAAAUUCAGACUUGAAGGGAUAUUCCUAUCUUUAACAAAGUGCCAAUCCACAAAAAGGAGAUUUAUACCAGGGACUGGUUACACUUAAAGAAUCAAAUGCAUCCAUUCAAUAUGUACAUUUGCUUGUGUUCAUAAGUCAGCACUUAAGAGAUGUGAAAGUCCACAGGAUGAUAAAAAAUCGUAUUACUUAACUAACCACCUAUGCUGGAUAAUAUGGAUCAACUUCAAAAUUUUGGUGAUCUCAUCAUUCAGUCUCAAUUAAACCAUUCUAACCAUGAUAAAAUCUAGAGUGCACCAUAUCAAUCUGGAAAGCACCAAAUUAAUACAUUUUUUCUUAGUAAAUUUUAAAAUGUUCGGGCCAUUGCAAGUCUCCACCACUGAGACACUACGAUAUCAACAAGGGAAGCUCCAUGAAAAGUAUCUCAAACACAGGCAGCUUCAGGUUACCAAUUAAUGCAUUGUUUUCAUAGCAAAUCUCAAAACGUGAGGGCCAUUGCAAGUUUCAACCACUGAGACAUUAUGACAUUAAGAAGGGCAGCCCAGUGAAUAGUACCUCAGAACAAGCAGCUUCAGGUUUCUAGCAGGAAAGUUUUUAUUGUGGUGGAGUCCUUGAAUAGAUUACAAGUAAUUUUGAAAAUGAACCAAAAUUUUGUUGAAACGUCAUUCCUAACUAGGUUUUGGAAAAUCACCAUGACGUUAUCACUUUCGCUCUUGACUUUAUCCUAAAAUACCUAUGUCAGAUAAGAAUACAUGAAUAUAAUAUGAUGCUUCAAAUAAGUAGAGAAUUUAUAAAUACAUCUAAAAAUUUAUUUCCACUCCCAUGGAUCAGCAGUAAAGAAAAUCCAGCAAAGGAAUAAAAUUCAUAAUAAUUAAAAAACCAUGAAAUAUAAAGAAUUAUGUAACCGCUAACAAUUUCUUUUGAAAUAGUGAUACGAGGAAAUUGAAUGUACAACCUCCUCAUCAGACAAGAGAUGUUACAACCAAUUAGAACAUACCUCAGGUAUGGCAACACAUUAACAAUCAACCAUUUUCAUUUUGCAAGAGAAUCAAUGACAAACAAUAAAGAACAGAAAACAUGUAGUUAACCUACCUCAUUGGCGAUGCCGUACUUGGCACAGUCAAUUGCAAGACGAGUUGCACGCCCAAUACUUUCUUUCGUUCUCGAUAAAGUCUCUAUCAUGCCUUCAAAAGCAUCACGGGAAACAGCAGCCUCAGUACCACCACUCAGUGAGCCUCCAGCAGCCCUGUGUCCAGAACUCACUCUUUGCUCCUCAAUUUCUUCAGCAUCUACUUGGUCGUGUGAAGCUGAUUGACGAACAUGAGUAGAUGGAGAAACUAGAUUUACACGAUGAUAAAAGGCCUGGGAAUCCGUCUGUAACAUGGUACUGGUGCCAGGUAAAAAUGGUUGGACUGGUGAUGGGCUGGGACUCCUUCCCUGAGGAUCAUUAAUGGAAAAAAAUGAAGAACCAGGGUUCCCAAGAGAGAAAUGUUGCGAGUGAGCUUCACGCCUCUUUGCUUGAGCAGCUGCAAUGAGAUGCUUCAUGGACAUAACCGAUUCUGGAGUUCUGGUAUCAACUAAAGAACUGCCUCUAUCUUCCAUACCACCUUCCAGUCUGUAAUUAAGUAAGAACAUAAAAUAUAGUCAUUGAUAGAACAAAUAACAAAUAUAUGAUAGAAUCAAAAAAAUACAAGCAUUUCACCAGGCAAAGGAUUAUACUCUGUUGAAGUUUCUGUUAAAACAAUAGGGUCACUCGUCCUUGGCUUUGGAGUACUUUUGGGUCUUUCUCCAGAUACAAAUGCUCGAUUUCUUUGACUUACCACAUGAUUUUGGGAGGCAUUAAAACUAUCAGAAACCAGAACCGAAGUUUUACCAGACCCAGUCUGGACCCUUUUCUGAGUAACACCACUAGGACCUUUAACUAAAGGUUUAGCAGGUUUGAUGACAGGAUAUGGAUGGGGAGACUUCUUGGGGGAAGUCACCAAUGAUUUGCUGUCCUUAGACAAUAACUGAUAAGCUUCUGAUUUCCCAGGACUAAGAAAGUCAUGAGCAUCAGGACUCUUCACACUUUUCAGUGGGCUAGGUGAAAGAGAAUCAUUAUGAAAUUGUGAAGAUAAUCCCUUUGAACUGCUAUGCUCAACUUUGGUAGAAUCUUCAACACUGGGCUGAAUAUUAAUAGAACUUAGAUGCUGUUGAUUAAGAGAACUUCCAAUGUUAGAAUCAUUUCUUGAAGAAGUAUUAGAAACAGCUGAAGGCGCUCUAAUACUUUUGUUGGAUACUCCAAGAACUGGAGUUUUAGGCUCUUCAUCUUCAUCAUCAUCAUCAUAAAGGCAAACAGCUCUCCGUCUUUUAGGCAAUUGAUUAACCAGAACUCUAGAAUUGUUAGAAGCAGAAUCGGUCUUCAGAUCUAGAGAAUUUUUUUCAGUUUUAUCAUUGGAAUUGAUUAUAGGAGAGUCAGACAUUGCCUCCAAUGCACGCCUACGACGUUUUGAUACAGGCAGCACAGCUUCAUCAUUGGAAACAUCAGAUUUAACUUUAACUUGGGCAGGAACAUCAGAUCUAGCUUUACCCACUUGGGUAGAUGCAUUAGAUUUAACUUUGCUUGCUGGAGGAGAAGCAUCAGAUUUAGCUUUACCCACUUGGCUGGAGACAUCAUUUUUAAGUUUGCCAGUUUGGGAUAGAAUAUCAAUUUUAAGUUUCCCUGUCUGAGCAGAACCCUCAGAUUUCACUUUUCCUCUUUGGGCUCUUAACGCCAAAAGAAUUUCUCUUCUCUCAUUGAAUGUGGACUGUUUGAAUGGAUUAGAUCUCGGAGAAUCAGUCUUCAGGUUUUUUAAUUUAGAUUCACUGCCCAAAUCCUCACCUUCACCUACAUUCUUUGAUUUCUUUCCAGGAUGUAGAGAUUCAAUUGUUUUUUCAAGCCCAGAUUGGGGCCUCUUUUUCUUGUCAACGGUAUCACCUGAGCUAUUGGACACAUUCUCAUGCGUUCUAUCAAGCACCAUAGCUUUUUUUUUGCCUUUUUCUAGUUCUUUUGCUUUUUUUCCAGUUCUAACCAAAGAAUCUGACUUAACAGCAUCUGGAGAAAAAUCCACUAUAGUGCCACCAGAAGCAUUAUUUUCUUUUCCUCCACCUUUCAUUUUUUCAUUACUACCAGGGAAGGCAUAGCGACUGCUUUUACAAACUUCAUUAUCAAUUUCAGUUCUCCUCUUUGAUUCAGUAGUCAUAUUCUUAGACUUAUGCCCAUUCGCCCGUGCUCUCUCACCAUUUCCAUGGUUCUUUGUGCAACUAAGAUCUUCAUUUACAUCAUCAGAAACUUCAUCCUUUACAGAGGAAGGAUUGUCAGAACAGGGUUUACAUAAUACCAACUGUGGUGAUUCACCAUUGGACAUCUUAGCUUCCUCCUCAGGGGACAUAACUGGGGACGAACUGUCUUUCACAUUACAUGAUAUAGAAGGCUUUACAUCUUCAUACUCAGUCUGGCCCUGUCUCUGUGAACAUUGCUUUAAAUUAGAAUUAAAAUCACCUUCUUCAUCCCAUGUUUCUCCAUUUGAUCCAGCUGUGCCCGUCCCAUCAUUUAAAUCACCCUCUAUACCAUCUCCUAUCCCAUCAGUAGAUGGAGCCUCACCACCAAAUGCUAGUCUAUCAGUAUCAUCUAGCAACCCACUUGAUUUUUCCUUCUGUAAUUCUUGAAAUGCUGUACAGAUUUCCUUCACAGCUUGGGCAAAAUACUUCGUCUUACCUUGGCAUCGAGCUGACAAUUUAUUCAUUAAUUCACUAGUAAACACCUGAAUAUCAGCAGGUGCAACAAAAGCUCUGCAGCAGAACAAAAGCUAAGUAAUGAGGAAUAGACUCUAACCUUCCAUCAAGUAAUGUACUAUGGCAGGACUAAACUAGUAUAUUUUCCCCCAUGAUGUUUCAACUUCUUUUUUAAAAAUUUUCGUUUAGCUAGUAUAAAUUUACGAUAGGAUGAUGACAAGAUAAUGACAACUGAAAGAGCUUGCACUGGAUAGUCUACGGAAAGUUGUUAUGGUCCUAAAGCAUAUUUCAUACUUACAGCAAAACUAAGCAUAAUAAAAACUGCAAACAGAUUACAGAAAAAAUAAAUUUGGAAAACCUUUUCCUUUGCCAUAUCUAACAGUGAAAACAAAGUUCAUUAGAGACUUCAUAACUCUUCUUCCAAAAACAAGCAGUGUUCCCUGCCCCCAACCUUCCAUGGAAUAGGGGAAAAAAAGACAAAAUUGAAAAGUAAGCAAUGUCAACCCAGUGUACUAUGGUAUGUCCAUUGCCACUAGUAUCAAUGAAGAUUAUCAUCAUAAACACCCUUUUGCCGACAUGCAAUAAAAUAUAGAAGGACUGGAUCCACGAGGAAUUAACAUGCCCAGGGAUGAUGCAUACUUUUAUGCAAAAUUUUGAAAUUUAACAUUGGCAGGAAAUCUUACAGGCAUAACUUUACCAGAAAUAUGACCAUAAAACUGAAAUAAAUGCACAUAUGAGUUACUGCAACAACUAACAAUCAGCAAGAAAUCCUAUUCCAACCACUUGUUAUUAAAGAGCUUUUAUUUUAAAAUAAAAAAAUUUUAAAAAAAAAUACUUACAUUUCUUGAGUGCCAAAAAAUUGGACAAAAUAUUUCUUUGGAUCAGGGGGUCGCUCCCAAUCUUCAGGACGGCUUAUCUGAAAAAAAAAUAUAAUAAGUCCAGCUCAAAUACUAGCAAGUUAACAUAUAACCUUAAAGUCUCACCUAAGUAAGCCAAGUGGGAGAAGGAAGCUUUAAUCCAAUUUGAUAUCAAUAGGCAAUUUGUACAAAUAAAACCCAUGAAACAUACAAUCAAGGUUAAUCUAUUACCUUUGAGUUGUCGGUAAACAUAUCAGAAAAGGCUAGGAAAUUACUCAAAAUAAAUAUAUCAAAAAAGAAAGAUAAAAGGGAUAGAAAAGGAAAGAUUAAAAGAGGCCCCACUAUAAAACUGAUCUAAAAUAGUAGCCAAACCUAAUCUUACCAUGAAACCACAAAAAAAAAUUAUGUUAUUUAUGCCCAAAUAUACAACAGAAGUCAUACUAAUACCAAAUGUUCAACAGAAACAAGAAAAAAUAUCAUUUGAACUUUCCCAUUAAAAUAAAGGAAAAGGAUACAAGUGAACUGCACAGUUAAAUCCCAAAAACUAAAAUAUCAACGGAGAAAAAUUAAAUCCAAAGAUAUGACGUCCACUUAAAUAGCACCCAUGUAACAAUUUCAAGAGGAGGACAACUGUAACUUCAGUUCCCAGCAAAUGGGGAAAGUGACCUUCACAUCCAAUAAUGGGAUACCACAAAUAGCAAUAAAUAGGAAUAUUAGCAUGUAAUGGUGUCCAAUAUGAAACCAUAACUCCCACAUAACCAAAAAUUCUGACAUAAGUGACCGUGUAGAAGAUCCUCCGAGGAAUUUUAUGGUUGCGCAAAUCAAAGAGAAUGAUAAAUAGGCUCGAACCUAGUCAGAAACCAAAGGGAUUUAUUAUUUUGCCUGACUCAAAUUUGAACCAAAAUAAACCAAAAUCCUUCGGCGAAACAAUGAUAUGCAGGUCUACAAGGCACUCAAAGUCAAUAAUGCAACAGAGCUACUGAAAAGGCAGUAUUAAAACUAAUUCAUAAACAUAGGGAAUUAUUAGAUGAUGGACAUAAUCAAUUGAUCAAAAUUGAAUGAGCCAAAUAAAGCAAAAGGAAAAUACCUUGGCAGGCCAAGCAGGGAAACCCUUGACUUUAGCAAGAACGAGAUCGCCCAAGCUUAAUUGACUCUUCGCCUUUGCCUUGUUGGCUCCUUUUUUACGCCCCGGAGCCAUAGGCGUUGCUUGUAAUGCUGUUGAUGAUGGUGUUGAUUGCACCAGAACGCAACGAGAAAAGAGAAACCCUAAAAUUCAACAAGCAGAAUCGAAAACGAUCGAAUUGAAGAAUAAAACAAUAUCGAAUCCAAUUGAAUAAAAACCCUAAGGAGAUACUCAAAUAAACCUCGCCGGAUAUGUCACCGGCGGCAGCGUGCCGGUUAGGGUUCCGGCGACUGGCUCGCUAGGGCAUCGAAGGAGAAAAAGCGCGAAGGUUAUGCAUUAAGAAUGUUAGGCUUAAGAGACUGCAGAGAGAUUGCAGGUUUAAGCAUAAAAGACAUUGAGGCGGUCGACAGAAAGUAGAUUUUGAUAGAGAAGCAUUGGAUUGGGGCUAUUUAGUAAAUUUCCAGGGGAUCUUUUACGCGGAAGUCGUAUUGUCGCCUGUCGGCGUAGUUGCGAAGCUUUUUAUCUUGGUUAAAUUCCAUACUGUACUCUCACAUGGGCUGUUAAAGACCUGACUAGCGUUUCACAAUGUUUAUUUUUCACUCGUUGGUUAUAUUUAUUUAUUUAUUUAAAAUACUAAACAUAAUAACAUAAUAUUAAAUAGAAAUAUUAAUGUUUUGUUUGGAUGAAAGGAAGGAGUGAUAGUUAAACUGAAGUACAGUAAAAUAUGGUAUGGAAAAAUAUAAUAAUCAUAUUUUUUGUGUUUGUGGAGAAGAUAUAGUAAACGAAGUUUAAUAACAUUUUUUGGUUUGAUUUGAUGGUAAGGAAAUGCAUCGUAAAAUAUAAAGAUUACGAAAAUACUCUUAUCAUGAAAAAUUUAUAAAUAUAAUUAUGAAUAAUUUUAGAAAUCAGAUUUUUUAACCAUACUUACAUCUCAAUUCGGUGAAUUUAAGAUUGAGUUUCCAACCUCUUAAAUAACUUCCAAAAAAUCAUCAUCUCCUUUAAAUUCUCACCCCAAACCACUAAACAAACUCUCUUUAUCUUACCUUAUUAUCCAAACUCACCAAAUAACCUUCAUCCAAACAAUAUGUAAAGGUAUACGUUAAUAUUAGUUCUUUUAAUAAUUGUUAGCUAUUAUAAUAGUUGUUUAUAUAGUGGUUUAAUUAGAAGUCUUCAGUGAAAUGGUUGUUUAAUUUAAAAUGACAAAAAAGAUUAAAAAAAAUAAUGGGUAUGAUUGUUAAAAAAUUUUAAUUUAUUUCUAUAAAAUGCUAAAUAUUAGCUAAUAAAAAACUCCAUCAACCUCUCUAAAAACUAUUAUAAAAGUUAUAUUACCAAAUGGUACCAUUAAUAAAAAUAAAGUUUUGAUUACCGUUAAAAACAAGCUCAAAAGUGGUUGCCGAAAAGUUUACAUGAAAAACAAAAAUAAAGGAUAAAUAGUGAAAAAUAAAUUAAAUGACGUAUUACUGAAUUAUUAAUUUAUAAUUUUAAAUAUAGUUUUUAAAAAUAAUUAUGCUUAACAAUUAAGCUUGUCAUGAUAUGUUGUUUGAUUUAUGUAAAUAUUAUCAUCUUCUAGCUAAAUUCCCCUAAAAAUUUUUAUGUUUUUAUUUUGUUGAUUCUGUAAUAAUCUUUUAGUCAACUUUUGAUUUUUUUUUCUGCCAUUUUGUAAAAAACAAAUAGAAAUAGGCUUUUACUAGUCUACAAAAAGUAUAAUUUUUUUAUCGGUAAAGAAACGUUAACCAAAUUACACGUGUUAAAAGGAAAAUUUUAAAUUAUAUGAUAACCUAAAUUUACGAAUUGCUUUUACCGAUUAAAUUAGGUUUACAUUAAUUAAAUUGAUAUUUUCUGAAAGUAAUGUUAUUAUUUCACUUCCUCUUUAUCUAUGUUAUUCACUUUCUUUCAUUCUUCUUAAUUGUUAGUUAUAUCACUUUUUUUUUUUUAGGAUAAACUGAAUCAUAUAUUAAGAAAUAGGAGCUAACUCCAAAGCAACAAGAUGGUGCAUAGAGGGAGGAACCUCCUCUAUAAGGAUAAGUUCAUUAAUAUCUAAAGAGAAAGCCUCGAAGGUUAGAGAAUGACCUACUGUAAUACCACGAAUUUUUAUUUUUGAAACUUUUGAAUUUUUAUUAAAUUAAAAAUCGCAAAUUUUGGCCGAGUGGGAUGCAAAUAUAAUAUGGUCUCAAUUCGAGCCCAAAUUAUCGAAUUGGGCCCAAGCCCAAAAUAGAUUAUUCAGAAAUUUUCGAUUUGAGAACAAUUAAAAUUUUCAAGACACAAUAUGAAACACCAGUGAUUAAUCUAUUAUAAAUAUAUAUAAAUUAAUUAUCUUAAGAUCAUAUAUCAUUACUAUUAAUAUUAUUAUUAUUAUUAUUGAGUAAAUAGAGAAAAUGUGGCAGAAUCUAACUAAAACAAUCAAAAAAAAUCGAACUGGACCGGGGAAUUAAAUUGAUUUUUGAAAAUCACAAGAAUAACCUGAAAACCAAGUGAAAAACCUGCAAACCGAGCAAGAAUCGAGCCAAAUCGUUGAAUCAGACCAAACCAGUUCGAAUCGAACCGGAAUGAUCUAGAAACAGACAUACUUUCUUUAUUUUUCUUUUCUUUCUCUCCUUCUUCUUCUCGAGUCGCGCACCCCCUCCCUCCUCCCUCUCCUUGCGUCUCCAGCCACAAGACUAAUGGUGGUGAGUGGCGAUCGACCUAUCUCAUGCUGCCGGUAAUGUCGCCCGUCCUCCUUCGUGCCGAUCAAGCCCUCAACAGUGGCGAUGCAAGCUCCUCCUGUUACACCUCCUUUGCGACGCGAUUGUCUCCUCUACAACAACGCCAUUCUUCGCUGAAGCUCGAUGGUUUCGGUGAUCUAUGGCUUAGAUCGGUCAGAAACCAAGCUUGAAUAUGUGUGAAUUAAUGGUUUGGUCACCGGAUGAAGCUUUGAUUUCGAUUUGAGUUGGUUUAGGAUUUUGUGCUAAAUUGGGUGUUGAAAGGUGAAAUUGAUUUGAGAUUUGGGUUCCUUGUGAAAAUUCGAGUUGAAGGACAUGUGAAUCGUGAAAUUCUGGGCAGAAUCAGGUUCCCGGCCAAACAUACAUGACGGCGACGGCGAUGGUCUGACGACACUCCGGCGAGGCUUCAAGAGGCAGAAUGCUCUCCUCUUCGUGCGGAUCACAGAAAUAAAAUCCAAUUUUCGAUCGGUACACUCUAAGACUCAAACUGCGAUUUUUGGUAUAAAUCCCGAACUAAUUAAUUAAUGAAUUACUUGAGUAUUUAGGUGAAUUAAAUUGAACAUUGCUAAGUAUAGUUCUUGAAUAUUAGUUAUAAGAUUGAUAUUGAAGUAAGAAUUCUAGCUAAUAAUUAUAUAAGUGAAUUUACGGAAUCUUAAGAAAUAUAAAUAGGAGGAAUUAUAAUUUAUGGUAUAAACAGGUAAUUAAAGGUGUUAUAGAAAUAUGAUUGUAGGUUAAUAUCAAGUAAAAUUUAAUUGGUAUUAUUAUUAUUAUUAUUAUUAUUAUUAUUAUUAUUAUUAUUAUUAUUAUUAUUAUUAUUAUUAUUAUUAUAAUAUUCUUCAUCGAAUAACUAGAAAUUUUAUCUAAAGGUUAUAAAUUGAAAUAAAUAAAUCAAUAAGAAAACACUAUAUAUAUAUGUACAGUGUAGUUUGACAAGUUAAGUAACUAAUAACCAAAACUAAUAAAUGAAUGUGAAAACAUUUUCGAAUUAGAAUUCUUAUUUAGAAUUUUCUUAUUAUUUUAUAUGCUUAUAAGGUUCCGGAAUAUGAAGACAAAAGCUGGAAGCGUGCAGUAGUAGAGAUAGUCCUAUGAAGGACAAUAAAGAACUGUGAAUAGUGUUAGAUAAUUCGCCUCAUCCGCCUGCAUUCAUGCAUUCACGGCUAAAUGUUAUCAUGCAUUAUUGCCAUAUUGUGAUGCACUAUUUGUUGAUAUUAAAUAUUGCUUGAUUACUUGUGAUGUGAUAUUGCUGUGCCUUGUUUGUGUGGAAUUGGGAUGAAGUGGGUCACCAUGGGUUUGUGAGACUGUUUCUGUUAUACGGAUCCUGAUUCUGAUUUCUGUUAUAUCUGUUACUGCUAUAUGGAUCCUGAUUCUGAUUUCUGUUAGCCGGGUAAAUGGGAGAUCGG
RNAcentral lists this long non-coding RNA (46194 nucleotides) under Jatropha curcas. RNAcentral describes it as "long non-coding RNA (JCUR_LNC000620)". Lineage: Eukaryota; Viridiplantae; Streptophyta; Magnoliopsida; Malpighiales; Euphorbiaceae. The record is from RNAcentral.